GGGAGAGAGAGAGAGAGAGAGAGAGAGAGGUAGGUUGUGUAGUAAUAAUAGUAGUAUANNNNNNNNNNNNNNNNNNNNNNNNNNNNNNNNNNNNNNNNNNNNNNNNNNNNNNNNNNNNNNNNNNNNNNNNNNNNNNNNNNNNNNNNNNNNNNNNNNNNNNNNNNNNNNNNNNNNNNNNNNNNNNNNNNNNNNNNNNNNNNNNNNNNNNNNNNNNNNNNNNNNNNNNNNNNNNNNNNNNNNNNNNNNNNNNNNNNNNNNNNNNNNNNNNNNNNNNNNNNNNNNNNNNNNNNNNNNNNNNNNNNNNNNNNNNNNNNNNNNNNNNNNNNNNNNNNNNNNNNNNNNNNNNNNNNNNNNNNNNNNNNNNNNNNNNNNNNNNNNNNNNNNNNNNNNNNNNNNNNGAGAGAGAGAGAGAGGGUUUGUGUGGUACUAAAUAAUGGUUACAUAUAUUUUUGAAUUGUCCUUUUGGGGAAGCAUGUUGAGAGCUGGACAGAUACGAGAGAUCGUAAGAAGCAGGAGAGGGAGAGAACUGACGCUUGAAAGGAGACAACAAGUAAUACAUCUCAAUUCUUUAAACAUCGUAAUAUGUGGAUGUAUGAUUGUCUAAGCACCGGGAUUACACAUGCUCAGCUUAGAACAAAUGUUUGAUAGUAAACAAUGAGAAAGGGCCUUAAUGAAGAUAUCUGCCAGUUGGUCCUCUGGAGAGAUAGGUAGACUAGAAAUGUUCCCUAUUAAUACAACAUUUCAAAUGAAAUAAAAAUUAAUUCAAUAUGCAUAGUGUAAAGGCUAGAUUAUUGGCGAUGAAAGUGAUGGCCUUAUUGUCAACACAUGAAAAUCAAUAUAAGUAAAGUUCACAUGCUGUAUGCUCCAAUGAAUCUACUCAUGUAACCUAAUAAUAAUCUGUUUUAGAUAGAUAUUUUUAGUAAUAGUUGUGCUUUUAGAUCCAUUAAUAAAGGAUCUUUUUCCCUUUAAAAAGUUGAUAUUUUGAUGGCCAUAAAUAAGUAUAAAAUCAAUUACGAAGCUAAAUUAUCAUUUUAGAUGUUGAAGUGAAAAUUAGAACUAUUCACAAAAGAUAUCACAAUGAGAGUUGAAGUGACUAAGACACAUGAAUCAAUGAGGUUUUAUCAAGUAAAAUAUCAGUAUAAAAGCUUAAUCUAUUAUGCACCUGCAUAGUAGUAUUUGCAUGGUUAAAUAGAAGUUACAUGAAUAUAAUAGAUUGAAGUUGUGUAUGCCACUCUAAUGUGUAAAUUUAUAAAUAUCAAAUCUUAUAUCAUAGAAAAUGAUUUUACUCUUAUGACAUCAACACCAUGAUCUUAUAAAUUGAACUCAUGAUUUAAGAUAGAUUUUCGUGAUUAGAUUGUAUUUGAAGUGAUUAUAAUUAGUUUUCACAAUGAAUUGUUGAUUUAAUAAGAGAUGUAUUAUUAGUUAUAAGUUCAUGCCAAAGGAUCCUCAUCGAAAUCAUAUGAAUCUAUAUCAUGUACAUGUAGAUAUUAAAUCUCAAAAAGAUCAUAUAUUAGAAGACAAUAUUUAAGAGAUGUAGAAAUCAAGGAUAUCUGAGACAUUUAACAAUCAUAUCACAUCACUCUAUCAACCAUUUGAAUUUGCGUUUAUUUUAAGGAAAACAGAUCACUUAGGUGUUGCUUGAAGUUGUCACAUAGGAAAUCUAGAGAGUAAUUGAGAGGUCCUUGUUGGAUGGUCUAUGUGAAUGCUUUGAUUUGAGGAAUACUCAUCGUGUGUAGAAAAAAUCAUUAAACAUUUUUGAAACUACAACACCUUCAAUGAUUUGUCAACAUCCUUAUGUGAACGCCACAAAAGAAAUGAAGCCUCGAAAUUCAUCUAUUUAUUAGAAUUUUGAACAUCCCCAAGACAACAUCAUUAUCCAAGAAAAUACUUGUAAUAAAACCUUUUAUAUAUCUUGUGACAUUAAAAUUUAUUUAAUGAAUAGAGGCUUAUCUAAUAAUAACUUGUUGACAAAAAUAUUUAGUUUGAAUAAGUAUUUUAAGAAAAAUUUGAAGGGAGUUAAUUAUAACAAUCAAUCAUUGUAAUUGGAUGAUUAUCGUGAAUAUAAUUAAAUAAUAUUUUUUCAUUUAGAGUGGUUAUAGAUCACUUUAAAGCUCUUUUAUUUUACACAUUAAUCUAGGAAACUAUAAGGCCAAGUGUGAUUUCUAAGAGGCUAGGUAAAAUACCAAGAGUGAGGUUGAAUUGAUUUUUCUAUAAUUUUAUAUUUUCUUUCCAUGGGUGAAUGUGUUGAGAUGCAUUCUAACUAUAUUUUUUUAUACUAGUUUGCCCAUCACUUGGCUACUUUUAGUUUUGAAGGAUCAUUCAUAUUAGAUUUUAGUAUUUACCUUGAAAAUAAACACUAAUUUUCACGAAAUCAAUAGUUAAAUCACACUAGUUCAAUCUCUAUAGAGAUCUAACCCUUCACAUGUUAAAUUAGACACAAAGCACCUCAUGACUUUGCUGAAAACUUCUCCCCUCACUACCUAAUUGCCUUUGAGCCAAAUAGCGAGUUUGAUCAUAAGAUUUGAAAGAAUGCUUUGAUCACCAAUAUCACAUAAAUGAUGGAUAAAACAAACUAGACACAAUUGAAGUUCACAGUGGUCUUACCUUGAUCUUGGAGGAUGAUGGAUUGAUGUAAAUACUCAUCAAAUUGUUAUUCUUAUUUUUAUAACAUCUUUGCUUGUAUGGCACCAUCCUCCAUGAAUUUCUUAUUUUGAAAUAAUUGAAUAAAAUCAAGAAAGUAAUUAAAAUUCUCACUAUUUUCUAGAACAUAUGGUAACGACAUUUGAUCAAUUUGAAUUUCAUAACUUGUUAUUAUUUGAUUCAUUCGAUCUGAAAUUUGAACUCAAAAUUUUUCUAUCAUAGUGAAACAACUUUGUCAUUGGUAAUGACUUCAGAUAUAAAUAUCUUUUUUAUUUUUCAAUUUUUUUAUUUAUUUUCAUAAUACAUGUGUCUUAACAUAAUUGGCUACAAUUAAAUAGUUGACUGAUAUAGAUAAAUGAAUCAAAAUAUUAGACAUAAUUUACCUCUUCUCAUUUACCUAUUUCAAUACCUUUUUAAGAUAUAUAUUUAUUUUCCAAAAAUGUUGUGCUUCACUUAUUUAUCAAUUUUUUUUCAUUUCAAGGUUUAAUCCCUUGGGUUUAACAAUUAGUCAUAAUCUUAUGAGAUAAAUAAAAAAUUGAUAGGUUGAAAAGUCUAAAGUACAUAAAUAAUUUUCUCAUAAAUGUAACACAGUAACUUAUGCUUAGUACCAUCAACAAUUGGAAGUUGCGGCAUAGGUUUAUUAAUUCAAAGAGACCUAUUAGAAAAAUUAUUAUAAAAAAAUCAAUGCAACCACCACUUAUUGAUCUAAAUGUAGCCAAAAAUCCAACAAAUUGUAUCUAAGUUUACUUUUAUAUGUAAGAUAUAUUUUUUUUGAGUAGAUCUAAUGGUUAGUGCAUCAAUAUAUAACUUGGAGAGAACACAAUCCACAAUUCACUCUUAUUUAAUGGAUCAAAUUUUGUAUCCUAGAAGAACCAAAAAUAAAUCUUCACCUAAGUUUUAACUUAUCAAUGAUAUACAUUUAUUACAGAUGUAGUAUUUUUUAUUAAAUAGAUACUUACUCAUAGAAUAAUGUAGCAAAUAUACGAAAAAUUACAAGUGACUCAUAAAGGAAUCACAUAAAUGAAACAUUUGAAAAAAAUAUUAGGAUCCCUAUUAAUUUAUGCCACAAAGUUAAAAAAGAAGAAGUUUGAAUACAAAAACUCAUGAAAAGGACUAUUAGAUUGAAAUGUACCAGCAUUAUAGAUGAUUGUGUACUUUUAAAAGAAGAGGAGGAAAGAAUAUAUGAUUAUGCUAACCAAAGUCUUAAGAUAAUUUAUACUAAUCCAUGGUAGAAAAUUUCGGAGAAAAGCUAAAUAAUUUUAUACUAUUAUGAAUUAUAAAUGUGAAAAUGAAAUAACAUAAGUAUAUGAAAUCAAGUCACUUGAAGGCUGGUUGCUCAGGAUUACAAUUGAGAAAAGGAAGAAGAGGACAAUAGUGAAAACAUGAAUUAAUGAAGAUAUUUCUUCAUCAUAAAAUUAAGAAAAAGGAAAGAAAAAUAUAUUGUUUGCUACUGAUCAGCCAAAGAUAAAGAAAUUUUUAGAACUAUUUCUUGAAUUCCACAAUGCUUAUAGACAAGGAAAAUGAAGUCAUUAAAAAGCUAGAAAAUAAGACAUAAUUGGAAGACCAAGUGAAAACCACACUUGUAUCUACUAGGAACCAAUACAAAAUAUUUUAAAAUGAAAGACUAGGAGAUAGAAGAAAUGUCUUAUGAAGCAUAGAGUUGAAAUGUGAUAUGAACCCAAUUAUUACAUUGAAGGAAGUAUAAGAACAAGAGUUUAGGAGGAAGACAACAAACAGCCAAGAUACAGCAAUUAGAAGAAGCAUUGAUGGCUCGGAUCAAACUAGGGGACCUAUAAAAGAGAGAAGAGUUCAACUAAAAGGGGUGCGAAGAGCCAUGUGAAGGAGAUGAUGGGGAUCCUCUUGAAUCAAUCCCCAUUGUUCCUUUGCUUCUGUUUUCCCAUUUUCCCACCCUCACACCCACAUCUUUAUUCUCCAGUUCUGAGAUCACUCAUCUCCACUAGAACUAAGCCUUCCAAAUACUAUUUUUGAUUCAAUCCUUUCAACAAUCAAUUAAAUAGUGAUUCUACUUAGAAGAACCUCUUAGAUCCAUCCCUAAUCGACUUGAUUAGAGUAUUUUAGAGAGGAUCAUACCAUUUAGUAUUAGAGCCAACAAUCCAACACAUUCAAUGACCCGCAAGCUUUGAGAUGCACAGAUUGAAGUCUUAGAAGUAGAAUAUGUUGCAUUUAAGAUGGAAUAGAGAAAACUCAGUGAAGAAAUACGAAGAUCACAAGAGGAAUCUAACAAACUGAUGCGGCAACUACUGCAAACUAUGCAACAGUUCUAGGUAACAAUGUCUUUUCACAUUGAUGCCAUAGAAAGAAAAAAAACUCCAGAAUAGCAUGACAAAGCACCAGUUCAAUCAUCUCUUACAGAACCUCACAUCAUGGUUCAAAUGUCAUGGUGUUCCUAGGAAUCUACAUUGUGAUCUAUUAGCAUGUCAAGAAAUUAUUAUAUCUAUCAAGAGAAGAGAGAAAUGUUUUCAGAGGAGAAAAUCUAGAGGGAUGCAUACGUUGCAUGAAAUUAUUCUUUAAAUUUUGAACAAAAGAUUGUGAACUCAACGAGGAACUUAUCUCCGAUUGAUCGGUGAAUAAGUCAUCACUAGUAAGAGGACGAUCCGUCAGAAGAUGAGUCACCACCUCCUAAAAGCAUACUAGAUGCAAUAAAUGGCCUCCUUUUACUGUACUAGCUUGAGGAUGAAGCUUCUGUGACAUGCCUCAUCUCCAUUUAGCUUAUCUCCAUAGGGUAACAGUCGCCAAAGGGCUGUAAGUUAUUAUUUUUCAAUUCUACUAGGUGACAGCUGUUCGAGAUGAUUUGGCGAUGCAUUUCACUGAUUUCUAGACUUUGAAAGAAGAUCUAGACAUUGUCCACAUCAUUUAUGUCUAAGGAGAGCCUUCAAGUCUGUGGACAUCACAUGAAAUUCUUCUGAACAUAUAAAAUUCUAAUGAUUGCUGUCGUGAAGUCAGAACUCUAUUUUUUCUACUUUAAACUUGAUUUUCAUUUAAAUUGAUGAUAUUUAGCACGAUUUCAAAUUUUUAUAUCCUUUUUCAUUGAGUUACAAUUCUUCGGGCUUUUACAACACUUAAUUUAAUGCAUUAAUUUGACGGUAAUUGCUUUCGUAAGAAUUGUUGGAUGGAACUCUAUUUCCACCUAGUUGAUGUUCGUCGAGCAUUGAUGUCACCUUGACGUCAUCACCUUAUUUCCUUUUGUGAAUUCUUAAAAUUCUAUUCAUCAUUCUGUUAAAAAAUUAUAAAAAAUCAUAUUUUUUUAGGAAAAUUCUAAAAUAUUUUUGAUAUUAUAUUAUAUCCCUAUGAUCAACUUGGAAAUUACUCACUAUUUUUGAAACCUUUUAUCAAUUUAUAAUUGGUUUACUCAUUCUAGUAUAUUUUUAAAAUUAUAAAAAUUAGUAUUUUCUAGUUUUAUAAAUUUUAAAUUUGCAUGAUUUAUUAUACAACGAUUAAGUCGCGUCAAGUACCAAUCCCUUAGAACACUGAAGGUUAUGUUCUCAUCAAACAUAAUAAAGAGAAGAGAGAAGAGAGAGAGAGCAAGCCAUCCUCAUACUUCUCUUACAAUGGGGGUUCUCCCUAAAUAGAGGGUGUGUGUCAUUUCCUAAAAGAGGGUAGUCAAUAGGAAGUUAUGAGGUAGUUACUAUAGGUAGUUGUUAUGUUAAUGGGCCACUUAUGGGCCAACAGAGUAGAGUUCCACCACUAGAAGGAAGAGAUGUGAGGAAUCAUUGCUGUAUUCUUCUUAUUAAUGCAAAGUAUCAAAAUAGAAGAGCAAAGGGCUUUGUUUUCACUGUGAUGAAAAAUUUAGCCUUGGACACCUUUGCAAGAAAUAACUACAUAUUUUAAUUAUUAAUGAGGAGGAAUAGGUCGAUGAAGAGACCCUUGUACAAGACCCUUCGGACAUAGAAUGGAGUGAAAAUAUAGACAGGGCAUUAUUUACUACUCAUAUCUCUUUGAAUUCUAUUGUACUUACUCAAUCACAAACUGUGAAGGUCAAAGGUACAAUCUAAGGGAUAUUCAUCACCAUUUUAAUUGAUUUGGGGGCCACACAUAACUUCAUCAAUAGGAAAUUAUGUCAUCCAUUGAAGCUUUUAAUUAUGAAUGGAGUCAAAUACCAUAUCAUGAUGGGCAAUGGAUAGGUAAUAGAGUGGUGUGGCAUACGUAAGGAAAUUUCCUUUCACUUUUAAGGUAUACUUAUCACAGAAUUUCUUGCCUCUUAUAUUAGGUAUACAAUGGUAGAGCUCUCUUUGGUGGACACACAUUCACUAUGACAUGCUAAUAAUGAAAUUUGCAUCCAAUGAAAUCAUUAAUACAUUAAGGGGUGAGCUGUCAUUAUCCAAGUCAGAAUACCUCCAAAAGUCUUUAGUGAAAACUAUAAAACAACCAUCCUUGUUCUUCUUGGAGCUCCACCAGGUCACUAUCCAAGAUAUACCAAAGUAAGGCACAUAUGAUAAUCUAUGGUCAGAUAAAUACCUUCUCUUUCCAAAGGUUUUCCAACCUCCCUUAAGCUGCCACCUCAACUAUUUAUAGAUCUCUCAAUUAAUAUCAUUGAAGGAAGCAAACCAAUCAAUGUGAGACCUUAUAGAUACUCCCAUUUUCAGAAAAAUGAAGUUGAAUUAGAACAAGAGCUUUUGUCAGCUGGUCUUAUCCAACCAUCUCAAAGCCCAUAUGCCAGCCUAACUUUAUUCAUAAAAAAGAAAGAUCGAGGAUGACGAUUUUGUAUAGACUAUCGUGCUCUUAAUAAGGUGACUAGUGUUUUUCCUUUCUUCUCAUUGAAGAACUACUAGAUGAAUUACAUGUGGUGAGUAUUUUCUUUAAACUAGACUUGAAGUUUGGUUAUUAUCAAAUCUAGAUGAAUGUUGUAGAUGUACAUAAAACAUCAUUCAAGGCACAUAAUGGCUACUAUGAAUUUAUAGUGAUGUCCUUUGAGCUUUCUAAUGUCCCGCCGACUUUUUAGUGUCUUAUGAAUGAACUAUUCAGGCCACAUUUGAGAAGAUUUGUGCUUGUUUUUUUUGAUGAUUUACUGAUUUAUAGCAAGACUGAAUAAGAACAUGAGAAACAUUUAUAUUAAAUAUUAUCCAUAUUAUCUACAAAUAGUCUUCAUGUCAAUCCAAAGAAAUGUUAAUUUGCCCAACAUUCUAUUGAAUAUCUAGGCCAUUGGGUUUCCAAGGAAGGUGUUUCUAUAGACAAAGGGAAACAUACUAUGCAAACAUGGCCACCACCCAAGAACCUAUGGGAAUUGAGAAGAUUUUUAGGCCUCACAAGAUACUACAAAAAAUUUGUUUAAUGCAGCUAUAGCUUGGCCAUUGACUUCUUUACUAAAAAAAGAUAGUUUUAUGUGGAACUCAAUAGCUAAUGAAGCAUUCAAUCUGCUUGAGCAAGCUAUGGUCACAACCCUAGUGUUGGUCCUCCCUAAUUUUGCACUUCCUUUUGUGAUGGAAAUAGAUGGUUCAAGGCAAGGAGUGAGGGCAGUAUUAAUGCAAUUUGGAUGUCCAGUGGCCUAACAUAGUAUAGUUCUCCCAUUGUGUCAUCAACAUAAGUCAGUUUAUGAAAGAGAACUUAUUAUAAUUGUCAAGGUCAUAUAGAAAUAACAUCAUUACUUGAUUCACUAGUCAUUUUUUAUUUGAAUUGACCACUACAGUUUGAAGUAUUUAUUAGAGCAGCGGUAUGCUAUUCUCAAUAUCACAAAUGGCUAGUCAAGUUGAUAGGAUUUUCAUUUGAGAUACAUUACAAGGAAGGGAAGUUCAAUACAAUGGUGGAUACCCUCUCUAGAACACCCCACUUAGUCGAGUUAGCAUCUACCUCUAUUUCAAGACCUUUCCUCCUCGAUGGGGGAAUGGUUCAGCGGGAAAUCCUCAUGGAUUCCAAGCUCAAGAUUAUCUGGAAUGAGCUCAUUAAUGAUUAGAAAACACAUCCUCAUUUUUCCUUACACCAUGGCUCACUGUUGUACAAAGACAUGUUGGUACUCUCACCAUCUUCCAAGCUUAUUUCACAAUUUUUGUGAGAAGCCCAUGAUUCCCUAGUUAGAGGGCAUGAGGGGUUCCUGAGACAUAUAAAAGGCUCUCCGAAGGUGUCUACUGGCAAGGAAUAAAGAAAUCAGUUAAUGAUCAUGUAGACAAAUGUCAAAUCUACCACUACAACAAGGUUUUAUUAUUGGCCCCAACUGAUCUCUUACAACCUUUACCAAUACCUCAGCAAGUGUAGGAAGACAACUCUAUGGUUUUUAUAGAGGGCGUUCCACUAUCCAAUAUCUACAAUUCUACCCUAGUGGUAGUUGACAUAUUGAUGAAGUAUAGCCAUUUUAUUCAUUUAAAACACCCAUUCACAAUAUUUCAAGUGGCCCAAAUAUUUGCAAAGUGCUCCGGUUACAUGGUCUCUCCAAAAAAAUCAUUUCUGAUUAGAAUAAGAUAUUCACAUGUGCCUUUUGGAGAGAACUACAUAAAAUAUAAGGUAUUCAGCUGCAAAUGUCUUCAUCGUAUCAUCCUCAAACUGAUGGUCAGACCGAGGUGGUCAACAUAGCAUUAGAAGUUUGUUUGAGGUGAUUUAUUUCAUAUAAACCAAAGGAAUGGACUUGCCUAGGUGCAUUAGGCAGAGCUCUCAUAUAAUACAGCUUACCAUUCCUCUAUUAAAACUACCUCAUUCAAGGCUCCAUAUGGACGAGAUCCACUAUAAACCAUCCACUAUGGACCUUUUCGUUCAUUAAUAUCAAUAGUCAAUCAAAAGUUACAACAAGGGGACCAAAUCCUCACCCUCCUCAAAACCCAUUUACAACACUCUCAAAAAUAGAUGAAGGUUAAGGCAGAUAAGCAUAGAGGCCAUAUUGAAUGAAAUCUCUAACAACCAAGGUGAAUGAGAAAUUAUCCCCCAAAUAUUUUAGACCUUACUGAAUUAUGGACAGGGUGGGAUAGGUUGUUUAUAGGUUAGAACUCCCCCCUUAGUAGCAAUUCAUCUAGUUUUCCAUGUCUCUCAAUUAAGGAGAGCCAUGGACCCAACUAUGAUAGUGCAAGCAAGUUUUCCCAUAGGAUUAAGAGUUUUGAGCCAGUUGGUGUCCAAUGACUGUCUUUGACUUUAAGAGGUCUAACAGUCCACUCUAAUUCAUUGGCCAAUUCUUACGUAUGUAAUAAUUGGGUUCAUAUCAAUACCCCUUCCUUUUGAUUCCACUUGGUCCUCUAGGUUGAACUCAUGGGAAUUGACCAGUAAUAUCAUAUGCUAAUUUCCUGAGUUCUACCUAAAGGACCAAGGAGGGGGGUAUUGAUACGAACCCAAUUAUUACGUACGUAAGAAGGAAGUAUAAGAACAAGAGUUUAGGAGUAAGACAAAAAAUGGCCUAGAUACAACACUUAGAAGAAGUAUUGACGACUCAGAUCAAACUAGGGGACUUACAUAAGAGAGAAGAGUCCAAUUGAAAGGGGUGCAUAGAGCCACGUGAAGGAGAGGAUAGGGAUCCUCUUGAAUCAAUCCCCAUUAUUCCUUUGUUCCCAUUUUCCCGUUUUUUCAUGCCCACACUCACAUCUCUGUUCUCCAGUUUUGUGGAGAUCAUUGAUCUCCACAAGAACUUAACCUUCCAAAUACUAUUCUCAAUUUGAUCCUCGCAAAGAUUUGAUCUGGUGCUGAUUCUACUUAGAAGAACCUCUUAGAUCUGCCCUUGAUCAACCUGAUUAGAGUAUUCUGGAAAGGAUUGUACCAAAAUGUUAAUUAGAAAAAAAUAUAGGAAAGAUAAUCGUAAAAAUUACAUGUAGAAAAAAGAGAAAUAAUAUAGAAAGUAAAAGUGAAGAUGGACAAUCAUUUACAUAAAUUAAAAGAUAGUUAAUGAAAAUUACAAUAUUUAAUUGACACCCCACAUAGAUAUGUAAAGAAAGAUGUAAUAGGAUAUACUAGACAACCUAGUGAAAGAAACAUCAAAAAUUUAAUCCGAUUUACUAAUAACAUUCUGCUCUUCAAAAAUAUUGAAAUAGUAAAACUAUUUAGACAACCUUUAGGUAAAGAGAACCUUAUAGAAAAUAGUAGGAAUAUGGUAAAAUGGAAAAUUUAAUAUAUUUUUGUUCCUAUGUUCUAGUAGAAACUGCUAAAAAUAUAAAUCUAGAUUGCGUCUUCUUCACCAUUCUGUAAUAAAUCUUUUUUACUGUGGGGAUCUCUCACAAAAAGGCAUAGAAAGUUUUCAGUGAUAUUUGUUGGACUGAUAUUUUAUAUAUUAUUUCCUUUUUACUUUCAUUCAGCCAUGGAAGUUUCAUCAUUUAUCACUCGAGUUUAUCAGUCAAAUUUAAAUGUUUUAAAAUGCUCUUAAAAAUGGUUAGUUUCAGAUCACGGAGACAACCAACUGAAACAUAUUUCUGAUGAAUGCGAUAUGAGUCAUCUUGGUAGCACGACUUUUUGACGGUUCGUCAACAUUUUUUGUGUGAGUGGCACUUUCCCUAAACAUCGAUGACGCUAAUAAAUAGAUAUAUUCAUUAGAACCUUUUGAUAAAUAAAUUUUCUUUUGAAAUACGCUUCUUAUUUCAUCCUUCAGAUUCAUUGGUCGAUUGAAGACACCACUUUUCCUUUGUUGUUGAUGUACUUGUCGGUCAUUGAGAGAUUAUUACUUUCACAUAAGGAAAAGCCUUCAGUCAUUAGCGACAUUUAUUCAACGUCCUUCAUUAACCUAGGACUCUGGCGGGCAAGCUUAUAAUGAAACCCACAGGUUCUGCACUUGUCCCUGCUUUGAUCACACGAUACCGAUGACUAGGGGGCUUGUGACGUGGUGAUGCCCGUCCGACCAUGUCAACAAGCCGUUGGCGUACCCCCUCGACACGCCACGCUCAGCCUUCACCGUAACAGUAAAGGCCUUCUCCUCCCCGAUUCUGGUAAACGCAAUGGUGUUCGGAAUAACUGUCACUGAUACACCCCUCGGUCGUCUAACUUGUGCCUUGUAAGUGCCUGGAUAACCGACAUUCUUUACCCUUCGGGUAACCGUUGUACGGCCAGAUAGCUGGGGCACGGUGAUAGAGGGGUAGUUGAGGUCCACAAUCCGGGGAGGGUUCCGCGGGCACGAAAACGGCUUCCCCGCGAAGGUGGCGACCUGUCUAGAGUUGUAUCCGCGGGCGCAGAGGAAGUUGAGGUAGUCCACCACCGUCAUGUCAUAUACCAGGCCAGGAUCCGCAACACGGUUCGGUUGGACGUGCCCGGCACCGUAGCUGAACGGAGAAGCGCUAAGGAAGAACGAAUCACGUAUGUUCUUCCCCGUGUUAUCUUCAGUCGUUGCUGCAACCGAGUAGAAAGCAGGAGGCACAGAUAAGAUGGAGAAGUAUGCAUAAUCUUAUGUUCAGAGCCGACUGCUUGUCGGAACUCACCGGUGGUCAUGAUCGCUGACUUGAUCGCCGCCGGGCUCCAGUCAGGGUGGAGUUUCUUGAGGAGGCCCGCGAUUCCGGCGAUGUGAGGGCACGACAUUGACGUACCAGAAAGGGCGUUGAACAAAACCCGGCGUUUAUCGAAUAGGUCACCGGAAGGACUGGUCGCUCCAGUAAAGGCUGCAAGAACGCUCACCCCAGGCGCAGUGAUAUCUGGCUGCUAGCAGUUUCAACGUUAGAGAUCGAUAGAUAGAGAGAGACGCACAGAAUGCAACUCUGUCGGGGUUGAACCUUAAGAAUCUCUCGGUUGAGAGAGUUGGGCCCACGAGACGAGAAGUAAGCCAUGAAAGGCGCCGGGUGGGUGCCGACAACUGUUGAAGGUGCGGUGAUUCUUGCGGUAGGAGACCUGGUGUCAAGUAUUAUGUAACAAUUGAGUAGCUUUAAUAUGGUUUUCCGGCCCGUUUAGAGCCAGAGAGGGAGAGAGAUAAUGGUUAUAAUUAUAUCUGAAAAAUAAUUUUUUACUAAAUUUGAACAUAUUAAGUAUAUUUAAAAAUAAAAAUAAAUUAAUUUCUGUAAACAAAAUGUGAUGACUAAACUGUAAGUAAAAUAUUUCAUGUAAUAUAGUUUGAGAUAGGAAGCUAGAAUAACCUGGAAAAUUAAAUGGUCUCUGACAACUACUUUUUAAAAGUGUAUAAUUAGGUAAAAGACUUUAAAAACACGAAAUUUAUGACCAUUCCAGCUGAAAUAAGCCAUUAUUCUCACACCUCUGAUGAACUUAAUUCGACUCGACUUCUCCUGUCCCGCUCCAACAUCCACCCGCCCCUGCUGCCCUACCCGUCAUGAUGCAUUCCUCUUUCGUCCUAUAGCAUCGCGCAGAGAUGGCCCCCUUGCCCUGGCCAUCCCAUAACAACUCCGCUGUGCCCACAACAUCAGGUAACUACUGUUGCAUGCAGGAGGCCAAGCUAACUCUGGGAGAAAAUUUCCGACAGGUCUGUUCUUGAGCCCACUUUUGAAACUUUGCCUGGUUUUCGAGAUUCUUAAAAGCAGAGUAUAGGCUUUAGAAUUUGCGUGGAUACUUACGUCACCGAGUUUAAAUAAGCCGAAAGGAUGAGGCCAUCUCGAUAUGAAAGCGAGAUGGCAGGAAGGACGUAUGGUUCAGCCGUGACGUCGUAGGCCUGACUUUGGGCAUUCGGGAGGAUCAUUCCAACGCCGCCCGCUCUGUGCACCGCCUGGCUCUUCUCGACGCUGCUGACGUUCCCCUGGGAGCAGACCACGAUCUUCCCCCUCACCUUCUUCUUGUUCAAUGAGCCCAAGAGGCAGAGCGCGCUGAGAGAGUUCCAAAUCCUUUCUUAGUCACUGUUAUCCUCAGUAGAUAAUGCAGCGGAUAGAGUAGAAAGCAGUAGCGCUAUAGUUAUCCUUACGCCUCAUCGAGCGAGGAGCUGGGGGCGCGAGCGGCGGCCGAGCUGAUCAAAGGAUAGAACUUGUUUCGUGGCAAACUGGUGGUUGAGAAGCUCUGACCCUGAACGAGGUAGAAUCAACGCAACAGGCCAGCGGCAUCAGGUUAGAGGUGGGCAGGAAGCAAUUACAAGAUAGAAAGUGGGAAUGGACAGGGCAAAGGUGUAGCUGACCUUCAGUCGCUUUCCAUUUCCGAGAACCGCGUAGUUGGGGAACUCUCGGUCCAUCGUACUCGCAGCGACAGUGAGGAUCCAUGGCGCAACAUUAGACACUGUUUCCCAAUCAGGGCCAUCGUUCCCUCCAGAACAAACUACGGUGAUCCCGUUCUUCACAGCGUGGAAAGAUCCGAGGGCUAUCCCAUCCUUGAGGUAGUCCCGCGGGGCGGCGCCGAGGGACACCGAGAGCACGUCCACGCCGUCGUGGAUGGCUGCCUCGAAACCCGCAAUUAUGUCGGCGUCAAAGCAUCCCCCAUUGCCAUUUACUGGUGGCCAGCAGACACGGUACGCGGCGACCCGAGCUCUGGGGGACCCACCCUUGGCCGUGCCGUUGCCAAAGCCCAGUAGACUGGCACGCGGAGCGAAUGAGCCACCAGCGGUGGCCAGGGUGUGCGUGCCGUGGCCGUCGGUGUCACGGGCAGUAUUUAGGUUGGCCUUGAUUGGACCCACCGCCGCCACGUAGCCUUUGUUGAAGAAUCUCGCCCCGAUCAGCUUCCUGCGUCAAUGAAAUCCUAGCGUGCAUUGUAAAAUAGAAAAUUCCUAACAUGCAAAACUCUAUGAAGGUUUUUACCAAAGUAGAUGGAACGACGUCAAGAACAUAAGAACAUUGUUAACCAAAUAUGGUGAACAAAACAAGCGUCGAUCGAUAUUUUAUUCGGAUGUAUUUGAUAUGUCGAAUAGAUAGAUGUGCAAAAACACACGAUUAGGUACUAUUGAGUCAGGGAAGCAGCGCUGAUGAUAAUGAUACGGUAGAUUUGGAUGGCACAAGAGAUCAUAAUGGGGAUAUUGCCUAUGAUGCUGACCCUGGUCCGAUUCCAGACCUUGAAAUCUAAACGCUAGUCAGGUAACACCAUACCUGUUGCACUUAAUACCGUCACUGGGGCUGCUCUCACAGGUUCCCUUCCACCUAGACGGGAUAGGCCCCAAGUCUUCAUCGUUGAAGCUAGCCGACUCCGGCCACACUCCUGUUGCCACAGGAAAUGGCAAAGACGACAUACAUGAGUGAGAAGAAAAAUGAGAGUCGUCAGGACUCUUAAAUGGAAUUGUUUCGUCUUGAAGGCUAGGUACGAGGGCCAGGAGGUCCGCGACAAUAAACAGGAAGAACAACAAAAGCAAAAAGGAAUAGAAAAGCUAGACAAGACAUACCAGUAUCUAGGUUCCCGAUGAUGACGUCCUCCCCAUAUCUCGCCUGCGUCCAUAGGGAGUCCGCCGGAACUCUGCCAUCCCUUUCUAAGCCCAUGAACUCCCAUGAACGGGUCGUAUGAAGCUUCCGUCCCUCGUUUGGGAACACCGCCAUGACCCCCGGUGACCCUACGCAGUUUGGAGAGCCAGGAUCAUAUUAGGAGACAAUUUGCAAACUUGAGAAGUAGAAGAAAGCUGGAGUACUAAGAAAAGCACAGAUGGGCCGGGCGUCCCACUUGAUAUUUCCACUGCCUCCUCCUCGUUGAGGAUUGCCGCGAACCCAUUGAUGAAUCUCGUGUAUGAGUAGAAGAUUGCAUCUUGUGCCUUCUCCUUGCUGAAUCAUAAUUAAUAAACAACGGAUUAAGAUGCGCUUCAAAUGUUUGGUUAAGAGGCGAACAGUUCCUCGCAGCUUUGGUUGGAAGGUUCGAGCACCUGCCCAGGAAGGAUCCAAGGAACUCGUGGUGAGAGGCAGUGAUAUCAUCCGAACUUAUCAAAGAGGCUUCUCCUCGGCGGUGAGGAUGACUCCCCAUGUACACCACAUACGACUGAAGGGGAGAAUCAGGAAAACAUAACAAAUAUAAGCUAUAUAUUAGAAAAUAAUAUCGAUUUAAGGACAACCAGGCCUAACGAUAAGGACAACACAGAUAUCAGCGUAGUUGCGCUUGCCUUUCUGUUGGCGGAGGCAGGCGUCAAGGCCAUAAGGCUGAGGGUGAGAACCAGGAGAGGAAUCACUAGAGAAGAGCCCAUUAUGGCAGCACUUAUUCCUUCCCUUCCUGCCUCCUUCGUUGCGCUCAGGGAUGAAGAUUACCGGUGGCCCCUCCUUUAUAUGAAUGUGAGCAAGCCAACGAGCCAGUACAUGAGAUUAGAAGAUGACCAUUUAUUUAUUUUAAAUCCUUUCAACAUAGUUUAUCGUCAGUGGGGGAGUACACGCUCUAUCGUGGACGUUUCAACUAGGGCCUGAUUCGGUGUUCCUUGAAAUAUUCACACUAAAAAUGGGCCAGUUAAUAAAAUCAGGUCAUUAGUUUAUUACCGAAAUAUUUGUCUACGAUUUUGACAUCUUUAAUUUAAAGGCUCGCGGAAAAUCGAAUCUGUCAUGACUCCACUGAUCUAAUAGAUUAUGAGAUCUGGAACCAGUCAAUCCCGUGUUUACUUUUAUAUUCUACAACAGAUCACCAGCAUCAGAGUUUAUGUGCAGCCUAUUUAAAAAUUGUUGCAAUGAUUUAUGAAGCAUUUGCCUAAACAUGGUUUCAUCGGAAUAUUCUUUUUCAAAUUUUAUACUAAAUAAUCGAAAACGCAGGUUAUUGUUUGUACGAAACAUGUUCUAACAUAACGCCUAGUAUCUUGGUGAAGGAAAGAUGAAGAGGAAUAAUCUCAACAAAGAAGAAAACUAGAAAACGUCGCGUGGAGAAAAGAAGAACACCUAAUCUGGUAACGAGUGACAUCAGCAGCUUUCGUGGACCUUCUAACGUGAGGCGUUCACUUCAUCAAUGCGUACUCUGACCCGAGAGAUAACAUCACUCAUCGUAAAUCCUUCAUCCACCGACGUUUUGACCGCAAUUUUGAGACAAAUUUGCUUACAGACUGGUACUUUGUGAUUUUAAAAGAUCAUUUUAAAUCGUUGGAAGCGAAUGGUCUUCGCAUGAGGUUAAUAUGAAUUGUAAUUUUCAGGGAUUAAAGAGGAGUACUAAUAACUAAGGAAUCCCGGAUGUCUUUGUAUCAGGUGAAUGGUUCCCCGUGUUUAAGCCUUUAUAUGCAGCUUUAUUUUCAAUGAAAAUGUAAGGGAAUCUAAUGUAGUAUUUAAUCAUAUAAUUAACCACACGAUACCUUUCUGUAUGAUGUAAGCUCACAUUACUUCGAAACAUAGGAAUGCUACAAUAUAAACCAAUCCAGCCAACUUGUGAGAACAUUCUCUAACAAUUCUACAAUAGAUGGGAAUACAUAUUACUGUAAAAAUAUGCACCCUUACCAGACAUUCAUAAUCACCCUAAUCUUGUGCGAUCUUACCUUUUCUUAAACUUACCUUUUAUUAAACAUAACGACAUUUCGCUUCAUCUGGUUCUCACGAAACAAGAACAAGAGAUUGUGCAAGGGAUGAAGGCAUGGGGCUUCUUCCUGCUUGGCCAUGUAGAUCUUAAAAGAGUGUGAGGGGAGCGGUUAAUACUUUUCCUCAUUGUGGAGACUAAUCAUCAAACAUGUACACAGUCUAUUGACGAAAUGGUCAAUACACCUCUGGAAUUCAGAUGACUUUAAAGCGACGUACCAAACUAUUUUCUAGGGUAACUGACCAAACAAGGUCUUUUAUGGUGUGGACUUCUUGAAAGAGUGUUAUGUAAUUCGCCCCAACUAAGACAUAAACGUUCUGUCCAGACUGUUUAACCGAGAGAACGUAGAUUUGCAGGAUGUUUUGGUUCUAACCUCUUGAAAUUCUUACAUUAAGAUUCAAGAAAAACUAUUCAACGUUGAAAUGCAAUAAGAUGAAACUCUUGGUUAAUCAAAUAAAACACCAUUCACUCGAAUUGACGACCUAUAAAAGUUACUGUUGUUCAGUAUUUAAAACCUAGAAUGAUUUUUAAUACCGAUUGGCAAUUAUCACCUUAAUAUUUAAAGCUUUUCUUUACGUUCCAAAAUUGGGCACAUUGUGCGCCUUCCUUUGUACCUGGUGCUACAUCUACCCAUGCCAAGCAUGUACCCCGGUACGCACAUACAGAACCUCAUCCUCCGUUACAAACCGGCACGUCACACCUCCCUCAGCUCAUUGCAGUGGGUGCGUUGUCUCUAGGUCGGUAGUUAUUGAUAUGCGGAUCUCUGUCUAGUCUGUUCUAUUUGUUGCUGAUCGCACCAAGGUUCACUUCGACUUCAUUGUGACAGAGAGCAUCAGGCACCACAGUGGCUUGACCUAUCCCGCAGAGAAAGAAUGUAUUUAUCUAAUAAGAUUUCCACUACACUCGCUUCGGCAUCAGUUUCUUAUACAACUUGAAGCAACUUGUCGCCACAUUAUCGAUGAAGAUAAUGAAAAAUAUCUUGCGAUUUGAUAAUAUCAUCAUUCCCUUAGCCAGUGGAGAAGAAUAGUCAUGCCUUUCUCAUGCACGUAGUACCAUUGUUUCAUGUCAUUUAGCUUAUGAAUCUCAAAAGUCACAGGGUGCACUUCCUACGUCAAAAAUUUACCAAUGGCUAAGCCUAAUUCAUUUGUGUCCAGAAAAUGGUUGUUGAAAUUAAGUAAUUGUAAGACUCCAUAUGCAGGACUGAUCAGGGUAUGCGCUGGUGAAUUAAAUGAGUUGAUAUGCUCGUAGCCUCGUGAUAGUGUUAUGUUCCAUCGGGAUAUCAAACCAUCAAUCAUUUUAGCCUCGUAAUCAUACUGAUUCACCCUUCGGUGUAAUUGAUAUUACGCUCAUUUGUCUUGGUUGGCUCUGGUUGCUGCUGUUAGUCUCACAAAAGUUGGAAGUAGAUUCAACGUGUGAUUGGAUUACGCUAAUGCUUCUUGAGUCAAGCAUUAACUGGAACUCUGAUUUCACAGCCCAGAUAAUCUUUUGCUCAAUGAGGUAUUGCGCAGAUAAAACACUCAUAUUUCGGGGUAUUCUGAUCUUUCCAACACUUUGUAAUUGAGCCUUCUCACUCUCAUCCAUGGUCGCUCUAUUUGCCUCUGAGGUUGUCCACCUUGCAGCCACUGCUGCACUUAUACUUUAACCAAAAAAUUGUGCCUCUGAUUAAAGUCGGUAUCAGGCUUCUUGGUGUUUUUGGUUUGAUAGUCCACCAUCGCAAAAAGAGCUGACGCAGUGGCCGACUUCACAUCACAGCCUUUCUAUCAUCGCAGCUCCAUUUUGUACCUUGUUAUGUAGUUCCAUCAUUAAGUUAAAGAAAUCCUCAUUGGACAUUCUUAAGGUUGAGGGGAAGUAAGACAAAUUUCUAGACAUAUUCCCUCUUGGUGCCUAUGUGCUUUAGCCAUUAGAAUGUAUCUCUCGCCAUUCAUACACAGUCUACGGUAAGGAAUUUAUUCUUCGAUUCCUCAACUAGGUGAUUUAAUGAGCUGAUAAUGGGUCUAGCUUCACAAUCAGUUCUCAUCCGAAACGGAAGUUUGUCAUAAUUAGAGACAGAUGCUUGUAGAUUGUGGAUGGCCCAAAGUGCAGGCCAUUGGCUGCACAUUCAAAAGCCGUUGACGGCUUGUGCCGGCCAUUAGCUGCAUUCAUGUAGGUAGAAACUUCAGCAGUGCCACGUUAGCAACAAGGACCUCAGUGCAUUCAGUGCCUCUGGCUCCUCAUCUGCCAAUGAUUUUGGGUGACUGCCUUUCUCAUAGCCCCUGCACAUCUGUCAUUUGCUCCUAACACGAUUGGAAUCAUCCUCCAUGGCCUCAGAAGAUUCGAAGAGCAAGACUAUUCGGUCUUCCAAGUAUGUAAUCAGCCCACCAAGCCGACAUCCUAUUCAUGAGCUUCGUAGGUGGCCAUUUAAUUAUGAUGGACCUUCUUUAACAUAGCCUAUCGGGGCAGUUCUCCAGUUAUGAUGUGUCUUAUCAACUAUGGUUUGAUUCGAUAUUCCUUGAAAUAUUACGUUACAGACGUAUUCAGUUUAUGCUGGGGGAAACUCUGAAGGCAAACAAUGCAUCUGUCAAGGCUCCACUAUUCUAUUAGUUUUGAGGAACUUGAACCAGUCAAUCCCGUGUUUACUUUUUAUAUCAGUUGAUGCUUGUAGAAACUCGGAAGGCAAACGGUCGAUGCUCCACUAUUCUUCUGGUUUUCGUGGACUUGAACAAGUCAAUCGUGUGUUUACUUUUAUAUUCAAGGACAGGUCACCUGUACCAUAGUUUUCGUGCAGCCUACUUCAACAUGGCUUCAUCCGAAUAUUUUACUCAAAGGUUUUAGUAAAUAAGCGAAAACGCCCCCUAUUGUAUGAACGAAGUAUGUUAUAUCAGUAGCACAUAAUAUCUGAGUGACGGAAAUACAAGGAUAAACAAUCUGAACAAAGAAGAAAGCAGGAAGACCUCCCGUGGAGUAAGGAAGCUAAUCUGGUAAGGGCUUGAAUCAGCAACUUUCGUUCACCUUCUAACGCGAGACGUUCACUUAUGCAAUGCGUGCUCUUGCCAAAAGAAGAUAUUUGGGGCAACAACGCCAAGAAGCCUUUGUGAUUCCGGGUAGAAAAAUGAUAAUGCCGAAAAAAAUUUCUUCUUUGAAAGAAUGAUGCAAUUCUGAUACUAUAGAAAGGAUUCACGUGCUUUUUCCUAGAACGGGUGCAAGAUUUUUCACUAUGGGGAUUCGAUUUGCAAUAAAAUAAUGUAAUUAAUUCCAAAUCACGCGCAAUAACUCUGUCCAGGCUGUUUAACCUGAAGAAGAUAGAUUUUCAUGAUGUUUUGGAUCCGUCCUCUUGUUCUAAGAAUAAGACCCAAGAAAAAAUAUUCAAUGCUGAAAAAUAAGACAAACUCUUGACUAAUCAAAUAAAUUACUACUCAAAUUGAGAGCAUAGAAAUUUAUUGUGAUUUACUUUUUGAAACUGAGGGUGUUUCUUCAUACUAACUUGAUUUUGAACACCUUCAAAUUCAGAACUUCUGCAUAAAAACGAGACAUUAGAGUCACCUUUUUUUAUGAAAUAUACAUCACAGGAUAAAUCAAUCAGAACGUCAAGGAGUAGAAUAGGACCCAUUAUAUUAGAAAACAAGAUUAUAGCGCUAAAUGAAGAACAUAUAUGAGCUCUUGCGGAAAUACAUCCAGGUGCUAUGAAUACGGUAAAUUAAAACAAAAACACAUGCGAUGACCAUGAAAAUGCAAGAAAAGUUUACUCCAAGGUCUUACAACGAAGAUAGAUGUAUAAAAUGUUUGUGAGCAUUUGUGUAAAGUUGUCUGAGAAGGCUCUCAGUGGGCUCCGUCAAUGUUCCUACGAAUAGAAAAUCCAUCAAGGAGCGAGCGAAGAGUUUCAAGAGAUUUCUUGUUAUCUCUAACCUUCGAAAGUAACUCUACAAGUGGAUUUACAGAAUUAACAGAAAACCAAUCUUCGAUGUGACCCAAGGAGAACUCACAGAUGAUCUCUGAAUGGUGUGGCCAGUCAUAUCAGGUCUCAGUAGCCAUAAACUAGCGUUAACAGAACUGAGGCUUCCCACUUUGUUCUGUCGACCGCUAGGAUCAGGCAUGGUGGUCCCCGCCUUAUGUAGACGAAAGCCUAGUUGACCAUUGAUUUUCAAAGCACACAAACAGACGUGCAAGGAAAAGAAAGGAGACGCCGCUGCUUAAUUCUCGGAGAUAAUGAUAUGGUAAAAAUGAAACGGUUGUCGUUUUUGUUUUCAAACCACUAGUUGAAAACUGUAGGCAGCGUCUAAAAAACCGAAAAACACUUGCUUUGAGUUGAACGUUUUUGUUAGCCAACCAAUGGCGUUUCUAUCUCUUAUUUUUUUUUACUUGUUAAGCCAAGCUUAGAUUGUAUUAUAUUAGGUCAUAUACGAUAAAAGACAACAGGAACGAAGGAAGAUCAGUGGCAAACGCGUUGAAACAGAUGAGACAGCCGAUCUCAUUUGACCUCUUAAGGGAAACCACCAUUUCCUUCAGGUACAAAAUCGCAGAUAUCAUUACCCAAGCCCGAGGCUAUUUCCUGGAGAAGACAUGAUCAUCUCCGCCUGUGGAAGAAGGAUGAUGCAGAGUCUCAUAUUAUUCACCAUAUAUCCGUUUUUCGUCAUAGGUAGAUGCUACGACGGUAAUCGAAGGAGGAAAUCAGUACAUGUGAAUCUUCAAACAUAAACUUAAUCUUCAAUGUUCCAGUCUCAAAUUCUUGAUAUAUGAAGUCCGGAAAGAAUUUUAAAAUAAAUUCAUUGUCCUUGUCUAUUGAGUUUCCCAAGAAAAAAGGUAAAUGCUAAUAUUCUAGGCUAGUUCAAAAUAGAAUGAAUUGGAUGUUGGGAACUGAGAAGCAAGUUGUAUAAGAAUUAAUAUGCCUUUACAACUUGCUUCUAAUUUAAAUUGUAUUACCAUGCGGUAGCCUUCAGUCAAGCGAAAAAUUUUCUAAGGCUGUCAGCAUAUAAUCAAUUAUGUAUAAGGAAUAAAAGUAGAUAAUGGUGAACUAGGAGAACAAGCGCUGGUUGUAUGAUAAAGAGCAAAAUAUAGAAAGGCUAGAGCAGUAACAUGCCAUUUCCACAGUCCUCAGCCAACAUAUAGUCUUGUAUUGUUAACACAUUUUGGGUCUCUAUUUCUGACAUUUCUUUAACACAUUUCUCAAUAUUAGGUUUAUCUCUGAUAUUUAAAUCAUUUGAGAUCAAACCUUUGUUGAAAAACAGACUUGACAAGCUUUCCAUGUGAACCUUUUCUUGGGAUUAAAUUUAUCCUGAAAUUUCGUAAAUAUCAUCUUUCAGACCUAAUCUAGCUCAUGCUAUUAUGAAUGAAUUCUCAAUAAAAUUUUUAGCUUAUAUUCAUAAUAGCUCGUGAAGUUGAUGUUAUAUUUAUGCCCUUAAGUUGAGAUGAAUUAGGAGGGGAGAGAAGAGUGGAGUAAAGAGGGAGAAAACAUGAUUUUGAUUCAUUAAAGCUAUUGUUGUCAACCACCCUAAGUGGCUGAGUUGUCAUGGGAAGUAAGAACUCCCAAGUCAAGCAUUCUUAGGUUAUAGUUAUAGGAUGGGUGACCUCCUCAAAAACCCUAUUGCUAAUUGGUCCCCUUAGUCCUUCCUCAACUGGUGGAUUCCACAAAAAAUCUAUUCAAGGGCUCACCACAUGUCCCACCAAUAGGCUCAGACGAUGAAGGGGGGCAUCCAAAGAAAUCUGGAGUCUAUUUUACUGAAGGUGACACAUUGCGGCAAACAUGCAAGCCACGAAACAAAGUACUAGGAUGUUGGCAACAAGAGCUCAAAAAGAUCAUGCCCCAAAAUAAGUACUCAAGUCAAUAAUGAAGAAGUUUGACAUGACAACUUGGGACGAAAACCUUCUAAAGGUUCAAUCCAAGUGUUUCCUAGUGAUAAACUCAAUCUAGGGGCUAAAUAUGUUGUCAUGAUGUAAUCAAGUUCAUACAAAUAAUAUUUUUAAAGCCUCACUUUUCAAACUAGGAUGAGUAAGGGUUGAUCCUUAAGGAGCGUGAAUAAUGAGAGUAUAAAUUUUACUUCAUUUAUUUCUUACAUUUACAUAUAUAUAAGAUGAUGAUAGGCAAAAUCAGAUUAGAAAAGAAUAAAGAUAAGACAUAUAGAGAAGGUAACGAUGAGGAGAUAAUGAAUAAAACAUGAGAUGAUGAUUGAAUAAAUAAUCAAUCUACUUCAAACUAAGUAUUAAUCUAUCCAUAGAGAGAAUUACAAGGAUGCUCCAAAUUCGGAUCUUACACAAAUCUCGUUACAUGUUAGUCUUAAGCCAAGUGAUGCUUGAUCUGUGACGAUCUUGGUGCACUCCAAGUAAUCUCCUCUCCACAAUGAUCUUACGCACGAGAAUGCUAUUAACUAGGCCUUGAUUUCCCUCCUUUUUCCUUCAGCCAGCUAUUUCUAGAGAGAGUGUCAAAAAGCACCCUCCAAGAGGGGGGUGAGAUGCCUUAAUCCCUUAAAGAAUUAGGCCCCUCCAAUGAACUAUUAUGAUGAAUAACCAUCUCUCUUGGUGGACGGCCUAGAUUCUUUCAUAAGGGUGGUGCUUUAAUCUUCCUCUUAAUCUCAUCUAAAGGCACCUUAUGAUGGAUGGCUUAGAUCUCACCUCUUGAUACCUCUUUUAAGUUCAAAUGGGUUGGGUGAAAGUUAUGUGCCACUUAAGUCCAAAUGGGGUUGACCAAGGUGACACCCUCUCUUGGGCCCAUAAACAUAUUAGGUGGGCCCUCUCCAUAAGACUUAGGCUUUUCCUUGGAUUGAGAACUUGGGCUUCUUUUAUUACUUCUAACUCAUAAUAAAAGCUCACUAAGUCUUUGCAAUCAAAUAUUUAUCAAGAGAAUGUGAGAGAAUGACCAACUAACUUCAUAAAAGUCAAAUGGGGUUAGUCUCAUAAUAUCAAUAAACAAAUAAAAUAAUAUGCUUUAGGACUUAAAUGAUAAAAUAUUAUGAAUAUAAUAAUGAGUCAGUAAUAUAUGUAUAAUUACAUUCUUUGCCCACUAAUGAGUAUCUAUAUAUAAGAUAUUAAUGUAUAGAUGUAACUACUAAUUUAUAAUUAUCACCUCCCUAAAGUAACAGGGUGUGUAAAAUGAUCAAGAGGGUGUCUCUUGAGAAGUUUAGUCCAAAGGAGUAAAAAGCCUAAUAAGCUAGAGUAGAAGGUGUGUGUAAGUAUGAAGAGGGUGUGUUUGAGGAAAUUCGGCCUAAGAAUGAAAGAUGGCACCAAAAAAAACUUUAUUCAAGGUUAAGUCACUUAUUCCUAAAAGAAGAAUAUUAUAAGUAUGUCAUUGAUAGUAUAUUACAAUUAUGAUAAUGUGAUAAUAUUAAGAUAAUACCAUGACGGUAAAAAAUAAUAGAUCAUGUAAAUGGGCCACAACAUCUUAUGGUUUCAAAAAGGAGUAUAAGAUUUCUUUUGUGUGAAGAAACUCUUGGAAAAAAUAAAGGAACAUAAAAAUUGGCAAGACAUUAAUUGUGCUUUCAGACUUAGAAGUUGAAAGCUUGAGCAACAUUCAAUUUCCCUUAUCUGUUAAGAUGGAGUCUCUCAAUGUGCCUAGUAGGAUUGUAGAAUUCAUGGUGGUAGAGUGUCUCAUCAGGCACGCUCCAAUGACCCAGUUAGAGAUAUCCCUAGAAUAUCUCAUGGAUUAAAUAUGACUAAUCUUGCUAAUAAGGAUAAAAUAUUGGGGAACCUGUCCUCCUCUCCCAUAUCAAUGUGAUAAGGACAGUUAGCUAUAUCUCUAACAUCCCCCAAUUUAUGACAACUAUUUUCAUACCUGCCUUUAUACAUAAACUAUCACUAUCACAGUGACCAAUAAAAGUUUCACGACCAAAGUGUUUCAUUUUCUCAUGGCUCACCUUAUUAUCGCUUUGACUAUGCCAAAGUUUCUGGUUAUUCUCGGGUUAUACAGAGCCCUUAUACUUUUGUACUGAGAACCCCAUUUCAGUACACAUGAAGAAAUGCCUUGGGAACCCAUCGUAUUUAGUGCACUAGUCAACAUUUAGUUAUAGAAAUAGACUAGUCUCUUAGUCAAUUGAGUCGUAGUGGGAUAACUUAACAACUUUAUUUCCAACAUAUAUCGCAGUGAUGCAAUAUUAGUACUUUUAUAUUCUUUCUUUAUGGUAUACAUCUUUAAUCUAGUAAACAUAUUAGCUUCCCCACACCUCCUAUCAAGUUCCUAUCAAGUCAUUAACUUCAAUGUUGGUGCAAAACUCAAAAUGUAAUUAUAAAAACAAACAAACUUCUCGUCAAUUGACUUAUAGCUCGAUAAUCUAACAACUCAAUGAUCUGAUCUUCAGUAACUUUGUACUCUCCCUCUGGCCAGAGAGCCCCAAAAGCUUGAUGGGCAGAUAGUUGAGCUCCAGGAGUCAGUGAGGAUUUAUCAGACAGAGAUGUCCAAUGGACAUGUAGCCGAUGGAGGAGAGGAACUAGAAGAUGCUCUGGCUAUCUUCGGUCAUUGUUACACCCUAUAAAAUAGGAGAUUCAAAUGAGAUGGAGAAGAUAGUGUCAUGAACACCUAGUUUAACAGCCUGUUUAGGAAGUUCACAGGCACCCAUAAUGGCCGACUUGAUUGAACCCGACAAUCUAGUCAAGGUGGAGGAUUUUGACGAGGCUGGCGAUCCCCGAAGUGUGAGGGCAAGGGAUCAAUGUUCCCCAUAGCAAGUGGAACAUGAGCCAGCGAUUAUAAAAUGUAAAUAAACAUGGACCAAAUGCUUUGGUGAAUGCUGUAGAAAUGCUCAAACCUUGGCUGCAAUCCAUUCAAUAAAAUCAUAAUGAGAUGAAUCAUGAAUGAUUUCAUCUAAGUUGUUUAUGGGCGUUUGAUAUUCUUGUCUGUGGACAUUCCUCAGUCCUUGAGUCGACAAGGAUUCUUUUUCAGUUUUACGAUGUUUGAAUUCACAAGGAUGAAACAAUGUCCCUUGAAUUCACAAGAGUUGCUUGAAUUCAUAAGAAAGAAACCAUAGAAAAGUGACGCAUUAUCCAUGUAGCUCUGGGCCUGACUAUGGUGUUGAGUUGGAAGACAUUUUGGGCUUUUAGAUGUUUGUACUCAUGUUUUUACAUUGUUUAUAGGAGAAUAGAGAGAGAGGAGAAAGGAGAAGGGAUAACGGGCCUUUAAUUGGCCGGGUGAGCUAUCGAACAUACAUUUUCAUGUGGAUGUUUGCAUUCAAGCAAUUUUGGCCUUCUCUUAAGAUGUUGGACUCGAAGUCUUUUUGGGCCUUCAAAUAUUUGUUAUCCGAUUUUCAGGCCUCUUGGACCACAGAUUCUUGGCAUUGUUUCCAAAAGUGGUGCCCUGGGUCACUUGUCACAAUGAGCUUUGCAGAUUGAGGGGAGGAAAUGGGCCCCGACCUGAUUUCCAUGCCUCACACCACUUGUGAGGAUCAUUCUAGCGCCAUGGGCGAGGAGCAUUGGCAGCCUAUUUUCUACCCUCAGAUUGAAACCCCGGAUCAAAGCCACAAUAUUCCUUUCACCUUCAAUGGAUUUGGCCUGCUGCCUGCGACAGUUCCGAACCACGCUCUCCAUUAGCUAUACUCUUUAUCAUAAAAUUAAACUAGUGGCCACAGAUCAACAGCCGAUUGUAGCCACCCUUUUCGCUCAAGGAGAGUCCAUUUGGUGAAGAUUCAGACUCAGACUUCCAUAGAGCUGUUGAAAGUGUGGAACUUCAACAAGAGCCAGGUGAGAGAAAUUCUCUGGCCUUGGGUGAAGCAUUCGCAAGGGGAGAAGCAGCAGUGUAAGCUUUAAGUAUAACAGCUGAGCAGGGUACAAGACAUCAAAAUUUUACCCCAGCUAGGAUUCAACAAACAAUCAAUCAACAUAAUAGAAGUUGAGUUUUGCUAAAUGUUGAUUGAUUAUCAAAAAUUUCUGCAGAAGUCAUCGUAACAAUAGAUGGGAUAAUCAGAAAAAGAGAAAAGAAUGCCUUGUUGUAAAUCAACCAAGAACGACAAGUGACAGAAAAUAGUGAAUGUUGUAGAGAGAGACUAUAAUCAAUAUGUUGAUAUGAAUAAAGAAAUAAGAUGUAUGAAUCUUGACAAUGAGAUAGUCAAGAUUCUAUAAGAGAUCUGAUUCAUUGUUCCUCCAAUAGUUCUUGAUAAUGCCUGUAAUCUGUUGUUCACUAACCUACAAGAACAGCAACCACGAGCUCUCCUAUUUCCUCUAUUUUGCUGUAAUAAUGUAUGUUGCUGACUUCCUAUUGUAGUCCUCCACAAAGAUGAUACAACUUGAAAGUGCAAGCAAACAAUAAGCAAGAAAUCUCUCAAUGGAGAAGAUAUAAAUGAGAGGACAAAUAAAUCCUAAAUCACAUGGGUUUCCAUAGAACAGUUUCUCACAUCACUUAGAGAACAUAGCAUAUGGUCUAUUUUAUAUUCUCUCUCCACAAGAGAGAGUUACACAUUCACCCCUUUGUAUGGGCUAAUAGAGACUCUUAACAUAAGAGGCUAUAUUGUUUAUAUUGGGCUAUUAAUUUGAAACUCAUAUCAUUGAGAUCUUAUGCCAUAUCUCAACAAUCUCCACCUUGGCAAAUAUCUCAGCCAACCUUCAAGAAGUUUCAUCUUGUGCUCCACUUUGAUGAUAUUCUACCUAUAUCAAAAAAAAAAUCCUUGUAACUUGAAUCCAAUUCAAACAAUGCUUGAAUUUCUCCCUUGCGACCAAUUUCGUCAACAUAUUAGUAGUGUUGUCUUCAGUGUAAAUCUUCUCUCAUAAGAUAUCUAGAGAAUUAGUCAAUUCUUGAAUCUUGUGGUAUCUAACAUCAAUAUGUUUUUUCCAUGCAUGAUAUACUUGAUUUCUUUCCAACUAUAUGGCACUUUGACUAUCACAACACAAAGGAACUCUACCUUGAUUGAAAGCAAGUUAUUUCAUGAGUCCUUUCAACCGUAAAGCUUUUGAGUGCCUCAGCUGCAGCCAUAUACUCUAAUUAUGUUGUAGGUAGUGCAAUAGUAGUUUGAAGUGUUGAUUUCUAGCUAAUUAGCCCUCCUGCAAGAAUAAACACAUAUCCUAUUGUAGAUCUUUGAUUAUCUAAGUCACCUGCAAAAUCAACAUCAACAAAUCCUUUAAUUGAUUAUAAAUUUUGCCUCUAGUACAUGAUUCUAACAUCAAUGGAACCAAUUAGACAUCUUAAAAUCCAUUCACACCUUCCAAUGCUCUUUUCUUAGAUUGCUCAUAAAUCUACUAACCACACUAACAUCAUAAGUUGUCUGGCCUUAUACAGAUCAUAGCAUACAUCAAGCUGCCUACAACAUUUGCAUAAGGAAAGUCUCUCAUUUCUUCAAUCUCUACCUCAGAUUUGGGACAUUAAUUAAGAUAUAAUUUGAAAUGACUUGCUAAAGAAGUACUUACGAGUUUGGCAUUAACCAUAUCAAACAAUUCAACAACCUUCUUCAGGUAACUCCUUUGUGAUAUCUAUAGUUUUCCCUAUUUUCAAUCUCUAUGAAUUUUCAUACCAAGGAUCUUCUUUGCUGGUCCAAGAUCCUUCAUUUCAAAUUCUUUUUUCAACAAAGAUUUCAACUUUGUAAUAUCAUUAGUAUUUUUAGCAAUGAUGAGUGUAUCAUCUGCAUAGAGCAUCAAGUAAAUUCGUGACUCAUUAUUCAGUACCGUUUCAUAUACACAACAAUCAUACUUACAUCAAGUGUAGUCAAUUCAUGUCAUGAAGUAAUCAAAUUUAUUGCACCACUAACUUAGUGAUUACUUUAAACCAUAAAGUGAUUUUAUUAACCUACAUACAAGAUGCUUAUUCUCUAGUGACUUGAAACCUUUAGGCAGAUCCAUAAAAAUAGUUUCCUCCAAAUCACCACGAAGAAAUGUAGUUUUUACAUCAAGUUAUUCUAACUCUAGAUUAUUUUAUACAACAAUGGCUAACACAAUCUUGGUUGAUGUAUGUUUCACUAUAGGAGAAAAUAUUUCAUUAUAGUCAAUACCUUUCUCUUGUGAAUACCCUAUUGUGAUGAAUCUUGCUUUGAACUAUACUUUAUCCUUUCAGAUGUAGCUUCCUUUUUCUUGAAAAUCCACUUGCAUCCCACUGUUAUUUUCCCCUUUGAAAGUUCCACCAAAUCUCAUGUCCUAUUUUUAUCCAAAGACUCUUUCUCUUCUAACAUUACCUUCAACCAUUCAUCUUUCUCCUUGUAAUUAAUUACUUCAUUGAAAAUGUGGGCUUGCCUUCACUUGUAGUCAAAGUAAAGGACACAUAAUCUUCAGGGUUAUACUUAAGUGGAGGUCUAAUUGUCAAUCUAGUCCUCCUAGUAGUAAUGUUAUCAACACUUUCUUCCAUUGAAUCAUUUUCAUCAAUUAUCAUUGGUGAAUUUAAUGUUUCCUAUACCUCCACUUGAAUACAAUCUUUGUUAGAAUUCAUAUUCUCUGGUUGUUGUACCUGUUCAUAAUCAAAAGAUUUCAGCAUUUCUUGGACUUUGGGUCAAGUUUAGAUCUCUCAUCAUUAGGAAUAUAGACAUAACUAGGACAUCCAAAUAUACUCAAAUUCGAAUAGUUCACUUCCCUUCCUGUUCAAACUUAACCACUUUGCUUGCAAGAAUAACAUUAGGUGAUCUAUUAAUCACAUAAACCGCCAUAUGCACAACUUCAGCCCAAAACUCUUUGGACAAGUCAGCAUUCAAUCUCCAGCACCUUGCUCUCUUUGUAAUUGUCCUGUUCAUUCUCUCUACAAUUCCAUUCUAAUGGUGUAUUUUCCUAACAGUAAAAUGCCUUUUGAUUCCUUGAUCUUUAUAAUAUUGAAUAAACUAAUAAUUUAUAUAUUCUAUCCCAUUAUCAGUUCUCAAGACUUUUAUCUUACUCCUUAUUUGAUUUUCAACUUGUCUUCCACACCCUAAACUUUUCAAAAGUUUCAAACUUUUGUUUCAUGAAGUAAACCCAGACUUUCCUUGAGUAAUCAUCAAUAAAAGUUAGAAAAUAAUAAUAUCCUCCCUUUGAGAUUACAUCAACAGGGUCCCAUAUAUCAAAAUGAAUAUAAUCCAGCACUCCUUUGCUAGUAGGAUUGGCUAUCUUGAACUUCACUUUACAUUGUUUACCUAUAACACAAAAUUUGCAAAAAUUUAAUUUACAAGUUUUGACUCCCUUUAGCAAUCAAUUCUUGUGGAGUUCCUUAAUACAAAUCUCACUGAUAUGACCCAAUCUCAAGUGUCAUAAAAGUGUUGUAUCUUUUAUUAGAUUAAUAGGUGUUGUGGAGAUGCUCAACCUAUAAUAGUGCUCCACUCAAGUUUAUAACUUUUCCCUUGUAAUAUUAUAGCUUUCAUCACUACAUGUGCUCCUUUAAAAACUUUUAGAAUCCCAUUUUCACUUUAUAAGUAAAACCAUUUGAAUCUAAUGUUCCCAAAGAGAUUAUAGUCUUCUUGAGAUCAGGGACAUGCCUCACAUUCCCAAAUGUUCUCACUAUUCCAUCAAACAUCAUGAUUUUUAUGGUACCAAUACCAACAACUUUGCACAAAGAGUCAUUGUCCAUUAUAACACAACUUGUAUCACAUAAUGUAUGUGUGUCAAACUAGUCAUCAUUUGGACAUGUGAUAUGAACAACCUAUGUCAAGAAUCCAAGAAUCUUCAAGAUUUUUAGUUGUUGCCAAAACUCAAAGCAUUUCACCACUACUGUUUUCAAUUUCUCCCUUUGCAACAUUUGCUAAAUCUGAAGAGUCACUUUUAGUGCUCUUCCCUAGGUUUCUUUUAAGAAAAUCUCUCCUUAAGUGUCCUUUCUCAUGACACUUAUGACAUUCUUGGUUUUUAAGUAGUUAGCUCUAGAUUUUGAUCUAGAAUAUGAUUUCCCCUCUCCAUAGACUUUCCAUUUUUCUUUGAUCUUCCUCUCUCUUUUCCUCCUUUUGUCAUCAAUUCUACACCUUACACAUCAUCAUAAUUGACUUGUCUCUGAUAAUAUUGCAGCAAGGCUGAUAUUACCUCAUCAUAUUUUAUUAUUUCCUUACCAUACAGUAAAGUUAUAAGUGCUCUUAGGAACCAAUGAGAGAGUUAAGAAGAUAUACAACCUUGUCUUCAUCUUCAUACUUCACAUCUAAUCUCAAUAGAUCACUUACGAUCUGAUUAAAAGAAUUAAUAUGUCAUGCAAGAUUAACACCUUCAGUCAUCUUCAGUCCAUAUAAUCUUCUUUUAAGAAACAAUUUACUCAUCAUUGAUUUUGACAAAUAUUGACCCUCUAAUUUCUUCCAAAUUUCAGAAGGUGAUUCUUAAUCAAGAACAUGAUACAAAACAUUAUCUACAAGACAUAAUCUAAUAGUGUUUGCAGCUCUCAUUUCAAGUUUUGCCCAACCAUUAGCUAAAACAUUUGUAGGCUUACCUUCUUUCCCCUGUAGAGUGACUACAAGAUCUUGCUGAACUAGUAGAUCUUUCACUCUUCAUUGCCACAAGCAUAAAUUAGAAGUACUAUCAAAUUUCUUAAUAUCAAAACGAGAUGAAGAAGAACUUGUCAUUUUCUUUCCUUGCUACCAACAUGGUUGUAAGACCACUUGUUGUAAAUUAGUCAAGAAGAACAAGUGACAGAAAAUAGUAAAAUGUUGUAGAGAGAGAUUGUAAUCAAUAUCUUGAUAUGAAUAAAGAAACAAGAUGCAUGAAUCUUGACAAUGAGACAAUCAAGAUUCUAUAAGAGAUCAUAGUAAUUGUUCCUAUAAUAGUUCUUAAUAAUACUUACAAUCUUCUAUUCACUAACCUUUAGGAAUAGCAACCACGAGCUCUCCUAUUUUGUCUAUUUUGCUGUAAUAAUCUUUGUUGCAGACUUCUUAUUGUAGUCUUUCACAAGGAUGAUACAACCUGAAAGUACAAGCAAAAAAUAGGCAAAAAGGAAAGGGAGAUCUCUCAACGGAGAAGAUACAAAUGAGAGCAGAAAUAAACCCUAAAUCGCAACAAUUUUUGUAAAACAGUUUCUCGCAUUGCUCAGAGAAUAGAGCAUACAGUCUGCUUUAUAUUUUCUCUCCACAAGAGAGAGUUACACAUUUGUCCCUCUGUAUUGGCCAACAGAGACUCUUAACAAAAGAGCCUAUAUUGUUCAUAUUGGGCUUUUAAUUUGAAACCCAUAUUACUGAGAUAUUAUGCCAUAUCUCAACACGUCCACUGCUGCUACUUGAGCUGGCAGUCUGCCAGGUCGUAGCGGAAGCCACAGCAGCCAAAGAUGGAUAGGAAAACCCACUGGAGGUACAGAGGAGCUCACCGGAUGAGUUUGGAGGUACGGAUAGGCUCUAAUUCCAUUGAAACUCGAUGUCAACUGACAGAAGGAUGAAUCUACCUAGAACGCCUUUUCACCUGCCCCUUGUUUCGGGCCUGCGUGGUUUCUAGUUGAUUGGAGAGAUCAGAGGAACCCAUCCUAAUUCGAUGAGAAAAAUGUCUUCUUCAUGAAAUUUAGAGAAGGGUUGACCUCAUGGUCGAUCGGGGGGAGAAGGGGGGGGUCAGCAAGAGAAGGCAGCGAUCGUGGGCGAUGGGAUGGAGAUGCUGCACCAUACUACCCGUGUUGACGGUAUUUGUUUGGAUCGAAGAUCAGAAAGAGGUUGAACGUGAGAAGGAUCCGUAUUUCGCUAAUUUUGAGAUUUACGAUCAAUGAAGCGUACGAAACCUGAGUGGGCUAUCCGGCAUCCAUCUCUUUUCUAUCACUAGAAAUCGGUUUUCUCUGAUUUUAGGAAUUCUAAAAAAUCUCCACUCAGGUUCCAUAGCUCGAAGAGCAGCAUCAAAGAGGUAAUGCGUAGUCAAGAACGGUGGGAUCAACUCGACCGGGGAGACCACUCAAGAUUGAUUAUUUAAGAAAGUUAUUUUUUUUAAGUUUCUGCAACUGUAAGCUUUUCUUAAUACUGAUAUGGUGAUGAGAACCUUCAAAUCAAGACUUGAGCUUUGCAAUCCCUUCGUAAGCUAAAAUAUCAGUCUCAGUUCUUUCUUCUGAAAUAUGCAUCAUAUGAUAAAUCAAUUGUAAUAAAGAAACUAUCAUAUAAUAAACCAAGAUUAUGGAUCCAAACGAAGGAACUUACCAAAUAACCGUUAAACCCCUGUUGAGUAAAUCGAUAAAUAUGAACCCUCGUGGUAGUACAUCCGGGUGCUAUGAAUGUGAUAACUCAAAGCAAGACCGCAUGCAAUGAACAUGAAGAGGCAAGUCAAGGUUACUCCAAUGUUCUAGAAUGAAGGAUGGAUCUAUAAAAUUUUUAGGGGCAUUUCUCCCGUAAUAGUAGCUUGAAAAGCCUCUCGAUGGACUCUUUCGGUGUUGUUACAAAUUAAAGUAUCCGAUCCUCUGGGCUCUGCUUACGAGGACUUUCAGGAGAUUUCUUGUUAUUUCUGCGCUUUGAAAAUAACUCAAAAGAAGGUUUGAGAGAACUAACGGAAUACCAAUCUUUCACUGAAUCCUAGCACGACUCAAAUGGCUGUAAAGUGUGUGGCCAACGGUAGCAGGUCCCACUAGCCAUAAACUAGAGAGGACGUCAGGACUCAAUUCCUCUCUAGAAUUUUUUUCUAUGCUAACUUUGUAGACUCCGUGGCAAUCGUCCCAAGUAUUUUUCGUGGAUGAAAUGGGAAGGUCAGCGUAUUUAUAUUUGACCAGGUAUUCCCAUCAUUGAUGGAUAUAGAGUCUACUGUCUAAGCUUAGCAUAAAAUUAGGGAGAAGAGAAAACGAUGUCAACCUGCAGGUGGCCCUACACCUUAACGUUGACCUACUUAUAUUCUGUGUCGACUGGCCAUACUGCAACCUCUAUGCCUAUAGUUCUAAACCAGACUUACAAAGAAUAUAAAUCCUUUCAACAGAAGAAAUUAGGUUUACAAAAUCAAAAUUUUAAUGAUAAAACAUCUUGUUAGAGUGUGGAUUUCAAAACUAGGGUAGUCAAUUACAAUGCCUUCCAGAAACUUUUACAACAUCUCAUUUUAUAUUAGUAUUACAAGUUUAAAGAACGUUUGUUGUCUGUCGAAUUCGAAAAUGAAUCUCACAUUCAAGUAUAUCUGAAGUCUUCCUAUUACCGCAUUGAACGUGGAUGUGGUGCAGCAAUAAAUGGAUCCAUCCAGGUAUUCCCCAUACCUUGUUCACCUCAAACGAUACCGACCACUAGAGGGCUUGUCACAUUAUGAACCAUGUCCGACCAUGUUAGCUUCCCAUAUACGUAUUCACAAGCCACUGCACCGACAUUGGCUUCCAAGGUGACAUUAAAUGACUCCUGUCCAUACUCGGCAAAUACGAUGCUCUCUGGAACCACCGUCACCGAUACACCGGGCGGCGCAUUCACCUGCACCACAUACUUGCCCAGCGUGCCGACGUUUUUCACCUUCCUCCAAACAGUCGUCCGACCAGAGAGACGUGGUAUCAUGAUGGACGGAUAGUUGAGGUCCAGGAGCCGGCAGGGGUUCAGCUUGCACGAGAAGGAUGUCCUGGAGAAGGCAACCACCUAACUGGAGCUGUAGUCGAUGGCGCAGAGGAACUCGAGGUAGUCCUCCUCUGCCAAAUCGUAGACCAGACCGGGGUCCAUCACGCGGUUCGGGUCAACGUGCCCAGCGCCAUAGCUGAACGGGGUGGCAUUGAAGAAGAACGAGUCUUGAUGCAGGGGUAAAAUUAAAAAGGUAGGAUACUAACGACUUGUGAGAGUUUUAUCAAAACAGAAACAUCGUUAUGGUUCAAAAUCUCCCGCAAUAAAACGAAGGACCGAGUGGUUUAAGAAAUCUACUAACUAGGGUACCUAAAUUUAACAGAUCAGAAAAAGUUUUAUCAUGGGGAAUGAUCAGCCAAAUAUAAAAGGUGGCUAUCCUAUGGUUCUCUCAAGCGACUAUGGCAAGAGAAUAUAUUAAAAAAAACAAUUGACUAGGUAACUGAUAGAGAAGUUUAGAAAUUAUACUUGAGCCUUGGUAGGAUUCCUGACUCUUGAAGUUGACCAUUGACUGGCAUGCGAUUGUUGACCGUUGACCCUAUUGACUGUUGACUAUUGACCAUGUAGACCAGACCGUUGGUCGUGGCAGCUCGCAGCUGGGGGCGGAAAAGCUUGACCAGUGCGGCCAGGUGAUUCACGCCCACAGAUUUGGGCACAAUCGGUCCAACAGGAAUAGUGGCUGUUGGCCAGUUGAGGUGGGCUAGGGCUUCAGGCCAACGAAAAAGUAACCCUAGCUAUAAAUGUGGUGAUACCCGUGGUAGGGAGAGAGGGAUACGGGGGGAAGGUGGCGACGACGGAGGACGGAAGGCCGAUGGCAAAUGGCAGAGGGCGACAGUGGUCAGCAGAGGUAGGCGGCGACGGCGGAAGGUAGGGACAGGAGUCGGCGGCGAACGGCAGAGGUCGGCGGUGGUCGGCAGAGGUAGGCGGCGACGACGGAAGGCGGGGACAGAGUCAGCGGCGAACGGUAGAGGUCGGCAGUGGUCGGUAAGAUCAGCAGUGAAAGGCCACAAAGAGGAGGCAGAAGAAGGCAAUGACAGUUGCUGGAGGGUGGCCGGUGGUGGGGAAGACAAGGGGCAGGCAGCAGCAGCAAAAGGGAGGUGAUGAAGGUGACGAAGGCAGGUGAUGUGGUAUCGGUGGCGCUGCGAGUGGAAAUUGAUGGCGAUAGAAGAAAGAAGGGAGGGCGAAGGGUACUCCAGACCAGGAGCAGCGGGGUCCUCCGACCAACCCAAGCCGGGGCGACGAGAUCUCACGAUUAGGUAAGGAAGAAACUCUCCAUCUAAUUCACUGUCAAACUAGAGGUUUGAGGGCCAAUUUAUAGGCCUCUCUACACGAAAUAAUAGAAAGUUAAUAGUAAAAGAAACCUUCUAUUGUGGAGCGUUUCUUUUGGCGGUAUGGGCGAAUGGCAACUAGAUCAAGGGUAACGUCCACACCUUCCUCAAUAUUCCCUCCUUCAAUUUGAUUGGAUCCUUCUUUAUUUGAAGGGCUAUUAAGAUGUGAUUCACUGAGGGCAUUAUUCUCGUCUGUCAUUUCCUUGGAAUCACUUUCCUUCGUUAAUGGGCUCUUGACGUGUGCUGCAUCAACUCUCCUGGGGUUAGAAGAACUCGUCUCCGACGAGUAAGGGUCCACAACAGAGGUGUAUCGCUUCCAAACACUUUGAUCGAGGUGUUGCAAGUCUUCUCCUGAAAUCCACGAGUCAUCCAAAGAGGGACGCCCUUUCCAACGAACAAGAAAUCUGUACAUUUCUCCAUCAGUAGUAGAAAUCAAUUGUUCAGUUAAUAUACUCUCUAUUUGCUCAUGUCGCAAUGGAUAAAUGGCUGAGGGGCAUGUUGGUGUGGUGUCACUCGCAAUAGGUGGGUUAGGCCCAAUCAACUCACUAGGAAUAUUCAGUGAUCCAUGAUAAGGAACAAGAUCUGAAAUGUUAAAUGUAGAACUGAUUCCCCAAUCAAGUGGAAUAUCUAAAACAUAUACAUAUGAUCCAACUCGUUUUAAAAUUGCGUAAGGCCCAGCAGCUCUAGGAUGAAGCUUAGAGGCGGUUCCUGGAGGGAAGCGACCUAGGUGAAGUCUAACCAUGAUGAGAUCUUCGAUUUGAAACUCUUUAAAUCAUUUGUGACUAUAUGCUAAAUGUUUGUAAGAGUCAUUAUUAAUGCUAAUGCGACGUUGGACUUCUACAUGUAAACUUUCAAUAUGUUUGGCAAAUGACUCAGCUUCAAUAGAAGGUCUAUAAUACUCAAAAGGGUCUCAUAAAUCAAUAGGAUUUCUAGGCUUAAACCCAUGUACAAUUUCAAAAGGACUUAGUCUAGUGGUUCAGUUGAUAGAAUUAUUAUAUGUGAACUCAGCUUGCGAGAUGAUUAGGUCCCACACUUUGGGAUGUUCACCUACUAAACAUCUUAAUAAAUUACCUAAACUAUGAUUAAUGACCUCAGUCUGGCUGUCUGUUUGCGGGUGAAAAGCGGUUGAAAAUUGGAGUUUAGUACCCAUCAUAAACCAGAGUGUCUUCCAAAAAUAACUCAUAAAUUUGGUGUCUCGAUCUGAUGUAAUGGUUUUAGGUAAUCUAUGUAAGCGUACAAUGCAAUCAAAAUAAAGUUGAGCAAUUUUCGAGGCAUCAGACAUUUUAAAACAAGGAAUAAAAUGAGCCAUUUUAGAGAAUCGAUCAACUACAACAAAAAUAGAGUCAUUUUUUUUGAGGUACGUAGGAGUCCUAAAACAAAAUCCAUACUUACAUCAUCCCAAGGGUGAUGAGGGAAUGGGAGUGGUGUAUAUAAUCUAGUAUUUUGUUGUGAAAAUUUGGUUAAGACACAAGUAUGACAUUGAGAGAUAAGUUUUGCGAUAUGUUUUUUCAUAUGAGGCCAAAAGAAUCGUUCUUCUACUAGGUUAAUAGUUUUGUCCCUCUUGAAAUGUCCUACUAACCCUCUUGCAUGUAUUUCCCAUACUAAAAAAUCUCGCAUGGAUGAGCAUGGAAUACAAAGGCAGUUAUUUUUCUAUAAAUAUUCAUUUUGUAAAACAUAGUCUGGGUAUUUAAUAGAAGGACCAUCUCGAAGAGCUAAAAAAAUAUGACUAAAAUUAGAACAAUCAAUAUAUAACUCUUUUAUUUUAUCAAAUCCAACAAUUUUAGGUUCUAAAGUAGUUAUUAAAUGAAUCCUACGGCUUAAGGCAUCUACGACAUGAUUCUCACAUCCAAGUUUACAACGGAGGACAAAAGUGUAAGCUUGAAUGAACUCUACCCAUCGAGCAUGUCUAGCAUUAAGUUUUUGUUGGGAUUGCAAGAAGCGUAGGGCUUCAUGAUCUGAAUAGAGAACAAAUUCUUGAGGAAGUAAAUAAUUCGUCCAAUGACGAAGGGCUUGCACUACAACAUAGAACUCUUUAUCAUAUGUGGAAUAUUUAAAUCGAGUAUCAAUUAAUUUUUCACUAAAAUAUGCUAUAGGAUGUCCUUCCUGACUUAGUACUCCACCUAUGCCUAUGCCAAAUGCAUCACAAGUUACUUCAAAGACUUUAGAAAAAUCUAGAAGUCGAAGAAUGGGUAUAGUGGUCAUUUUUUCUUUAAAUAUUUGAAAUGCUUUAUUAGCUUCUUUGGUCCAUUUGAAGAUGUCACCUUUCAUGCAAUUAGUAAGAGGGGUCAUAAUAGAACUAAAGUCUUUAAUAAAUCAUUUAUAAAAAGAAGCUAAUCUAUGGAAACUUCUUAUAUCAUGAAUACUUUGGGGAAUGGGCCAUUCAAUUAUAGCUUGGAUUUUCUUUGGGUCUAUUGACACACCAAAUGAUGAUACGAUAAACCCAAGGAAAGUAACAUGAUCUGUAGAGAAUUCACACUUUUGUCGUGUCGCGAAUAAUGUCUCUUUUUGAAGAGUUUCACAAAUGAGAUGAAUGUGUGUUAAGUGGUCUCUUGAGGUUCGACUAUAUAUUAAAAUAUCAUCAAAAUAAACAACCACAAAUUUUCCUAUAAAAGGUUGUAAUAUAUGAGUCAUGAGUUGCAUGAAUGUGCUAGGUGCAUUAGACAAGCCAAAUGGCAUCACUAACCAUUCAUAGAGCCCAUCUUUUGUCUUAAAUGAUGUUUUCUAUUCAUCCCCAUGUCUAAUCUUGACUUGAUGAUAUCCACUUUUGAGGUCUAUUUUGGAAAAUAUGGUGGAUCCUACUAACAUAUCUAACAUGUCAUCUAGAUGCGGAAUAGGAAAAUGAUAUUUAAUAGUAAUUUUAUUAAUUGCCCUACUAUUGAUACACAUACGGCAUGAGCCAUCUUUUUUUGGUGUUAGAAGGGUAAGGACUGCACAUGGACUUAGACUUUCAUGAAUAAAACCUUUUUCUAAUAGGUUAGUGAUUUGUCAUUGCAAUUCUUCAUGCUCUUUAGGGCUAAGACAAUAAUGGGGUAAGUUAGGCAAAGACAAUCUAGAGAUAAGAUCAAUAACUUGCUAGAUUUCUCUCAUAGGAGGGAGUUCAUUUGGUAGUUCAUUAGGAAAAAGAUCAUUAAAUUCUUCUAAGAGAUUUUGCACUUCAAUAGGAUAUGAUAAUUGGUUAUGAGGUGGAGAAUCACUUAUUGAUCUAAGAUGUGUUAUCCAAAUGGGCGAUCCUGAUUUGAUUUCUUUUUGGAUAUCUUGAACACUAAUGAAGCUAAUACUAGGACAUUGUUCAAUAUGAUGAAUUUUGUGCGGUUGAGGAGAGAAUGGUUUCUAAGUUAUCUUUGUUCCCUUAUAAAGAAAUGAACAUAUAUUAGUUCUACCUUGUUGACUCACAUCUCUAUCAUAUAACCAUGGUCUACCUAAGAUGAUGCUACCUACAUCCAUAGGGAGUACAUCACAAAGGAUUUCAUCUUCAUAAGAGUUAACCUUGAGAGCUACUAAACAUUAUUUUUGAAUAGGGAUAGAGGUUGCAUUUAUCCAAGAGACUUUAUAAGGGUUAGGAUGAAGAGUGGUAGUAAGCCCUAAUCGUGUUACUGUAUCUUGUGACACAGCAUUAAUACUACUUCCAUUAUCAAUGAUAAGUUUGCACACCUUAGGGCCUUUUUAGACAAAAGUGUAAAAUAUGGAAGUUCGAAGGGGAUCAUCAACAGGUUGUGUGAGAAUGCAUCUAACAACUCCUACCCUAGACUCUUCUAUGUAAUUAAGAGCCAAAUUAGGGUCAGCACAAUACUCCUCUUCAGGGAUGGGGUCUUCUAUUUCUACAAGUCCUGUUGGUUCGAACUCAUCAAUGUAUAGGCUCCUGCUAGGGCAUUGGGUGGCUAAAUGCCCUAUUCCUCGACAUUUAAAACAUGUAACCUUUGAAGUAUUUCCUUGACGAGUUUCUAUCACUUGUUUCCCUUUGUCUAAUGGUCUAGUUUCUAGAUGUCGUGAGGAUUGCACUAGGGGUUGGGAAUUGUUUUAAAAUGUCCAACGUUGAGCAGGGAAGGCUGGCCGAGGGGGGGCUUGGGUUGGUGGUUUAUAAAAUGUAUCAAGAUCAAGUACGAGUUGGUAAGCCUCCUCAAGGGUGUGUAUAUUUCUCACACAAAAUUCUUUUCAUAGAUCUUCACGUAGUCCAGUUCUAAAAUGAGAAAGGAUAACAAUAGGGUCUUCAUUCACCCCACAAAUAUUAAGAAAAUCAUCAAAUUGUGCUAUGUAUUCAGUUGCGGAUUGACUUCCUUGUAUAAUUCGAUUCCAUUUAUCAAUCAUUUUUAUUGUGUAAUUAAUAGGGACAUAUUUUUUACGCAAUUUAUCCUUCAUCUCCUUCCAUGUCUCUAUAGGUUCUUGGCGACAAAGUUCUAAGAGGCGUUCAAUGUUUUUCCAAUAAGUUUUAGCAGAUCCUAUUAAUUUAAAAUCUGGGAAUCAAAUCUUCCUAGCUUCAGACAUAUCAUACCAUUUGAAGUAGCUAUCCAUAGAUGAUUCUCAAUCUAAAUAAUCCUUAGGGGUCUUGACCUCCAUCAAACAUGGGUACAUCAAUUCGUACAUGUCUAUAUGAUUGGUCCAAGUUAUUAGGUUCCUCAUUUUCCCGAAGUCUCCUAUUGGUGUUGUCUCUAGGGAGGGGUCUAUUAGGGGUGAAAACAUGUAAGUCUAAUUUAUCUAGUUGUUGAUUUAUAGUGGCCAUUUGAUCUAUUAAGUGUUGAGCCCAAGAUGAGAUGUGCUCUUCUAAUCUUUGUGGGUCUUCUAGUUGUGGGGUUUGUUGACUCUCGUCUAUUAAGUAAGAAGUUCCAGCUCUAGUAACCAUGAUUGUAGGUAGGUACCCUAGGCCUAUUGCUCUGAUACUAAAUGAUGUGGGGGUAAAAUUAAAAGGGUAGGAUACUAAUGACUUGUGAGAGAUUUAUCAAAAAAGAAAUAUCGUUAUGGUUCAAAAUCUCCCACAAUAAUAAAACGAAGGACCGAGUGGUUUAAGAAAUCCACUAACUAGGGUACCUAAAUUUAACAGAUCAAAAAAAGUUUUAUCAUGGGGAAUGAUCAACCGAAUAUAGAAGGUGGCUAUCCUAUGGUUCUCUCAAGCGACUAUGGCAAGAGAAUAUAUUAAAAAAACAAUUGACUAGGUAAUUGAUAGAGAAGUUUAGAAAUUAUACUUGAGCCUUGGUAGGGUUGCUAACUCUUGAAGUUGACCGUUGACUAGUAUGCGAUUGUUGACCAUUGACCCUAUUGACUGUUGUCUAUUGACCACGUAGACCAGACUGUUGGUCGUGGCGGCUCACAGCUAGGGGUGAAAAAGCUUGACCGGGGUGGCCAAGUGAUUCACGCCCACAGAUUUGGGUGCAGUCGGCCCAACAGGAAUAGUGGCUGUGGGCUGGCUGAGGUGGGCUAGGGCUUCAGGCCCACAAAAAAGUAACCCUAGCUAUAAAUGUGGCGAUACCCGUGGUAGGGAGAGAGGGAUAUGGGGAGAAGGCGGCAAUGGUGGAGGAUGGAAGGCCAAUGGCGAAUGGCAGAGGGCGGCAGUGGUCGGCAGAGGUAGGCGGCGACGGCGGAAGGCGGGGACAGGAGUCGGUGGCAAAUGGCAGAGGUUGGCAGUGGUCAGUAGAGGUAGGCGGCAACGACGGAAGGCGGGGACAGAGUCGGCGGCGAACGGCAGAGGUCGGCGGUGGUCGGCAAAAUCAGCAAUGAAAGGCCACGAAGAGGAGGCAGAAGUAGGCAAUGACAGUUGUUGGAGGGCGGCUGGUGGUGGGGAAGACAAAGGGCAGGCAGCAGCGGCGGAAGGGAGGUGAUGACAGUGACAAAGGCAGGUGAUGUGGUACCGGUGGCGUUGGGAAUGGAAAUUGGUGGCGAUAGAAGAAAGAAAGGAGGGGGAAGGGUACUCUAGACUGGGAGCGGCGGGGUCCUCUAACCAACCCAAGCCAAGGCGACGGGAUCUCACGAUCAAGUAAGGAAGAAACUCUCCAUCUAAUUCACUAUCAAACUAGAGGUUUGAGGGCCAAUUUAUAGGCCUCUCUACAUGAAAUAAUAGAAAGUUAAUAGUAAAGGAAACCUUCUAUUGUGGGGCAUUUCUUCUAGCGGUAUGGGCGAAUGACAAUUGGAUCAAGGGUAAUGUCUGCACCUUCCUCAAUAUUCCCUCCUUCAAUUUAAUUGGAUCCUUCUUUAUUUGAAGGGUUAUUAAGAUGUGAUUCAUUGAGGGCAUUAUUCUCAUCUAUCAUUUCCUUGGAAUCACUUUCCUUCGUUGAUGGGCUCUUGAUGUGUGCUACAUCAAGUCCAGUAUGAGAUUUCUCUAGUUGUUUUCGAUUGUCACUGCACAGUUUCAUACAAUAGGUAAUUUUGAUGAGAUGGAGAAGAUAAUGUCAUAUACACCUAGUUUGAUGGCCAGUUCGAGAAGUUCACCAGUAGUCAUGAUGGCCGACUUGAUCCCAGCUGGGCUCCAAUAUGGGUGGAGAGUUUUGAGUAGGCUGGCGACCCCACUGAUGUGAGGGCACGACAUCGACAUUCCAAAUAUUGAAUUGAAUUGAACCUUGCAAGCAUCGAAGGGUUUGUUGGAUUGGCCAACUGCCUCUGUGAAGGCAGCAAGGAUGCUCACACCUGGCGCGAUGAUAUUGGUGGAGCAUGUACCCAAGCUCCACCAAUGAAGGCAACGACAUCAGAGGAUGCCACGUCAUCUGCAGCCAUCCCACGUCGUCACUGUCGAACUCAACUAAAGAAUCCGAAUUUCUUUUAUUAUUAGGCUUAACUUUCACUCAUUUUGCUUGAUCUUAUUGUAGUCUUCUUUUUCCUUCCAAGGCCUAUAAAUAGGCAUAAGAAUUCCUUAAACUAGUGGCUGAUUUUUGGAUUAAGAAAUGUAUCUUUCCUAAGAACGUGUCCUAGAGGAUUUAUGCGACUGCCACUGCCUAUAGCCACCACCGCCGCAUAGGUCCCACCCUGCUCCAAGGUCAACCUUCCCUCUCUGGACGAACCCUCCACCAGCUCUCGUGCACUCCUCUUUGUGCUGACGGCCUCCCGUCAGUUCACUGAUCGCACACGGCGGACUUCUUUCUGCACCCGUUCGUGAGACCUAACCAUCUCGACACAUGAUGGAAUGCCCUGCAGCCACGAAUGUCUUCUGCAUCAGCAUCAGGCAUCCACCGUCGAGGAACGGUUCCGCCGGAUCGUCAUCCACACGCGACAAGCUCCUCUCCGCGGCAUCCGUGCGAUUCCUCGCCCCGCAGCCACGGACAUCCUCCACGACAACAUCAAGCAUCCACUGUUGAGGAACGGUUCUGCCGGAUCGCCGUCCGCAUGCGAUGAGCUCCUCUCCGUGGUGUCCACACGACUCCUUGCCCCACAGCCGCGGACGUCCUCCACAACAAGGUCAAGCGUCCGCCGUCGAGGGACGGUUCCACCAGAUCGCCAUCUACAUGCGACGAGCUCCUCUCCGCAGCAUCCACGUGAUUCCUCACCCCACAGCCGCGGACGUCCUCUACAUCAGCACCAAACAUCUGCCGUCGAGGAACGGUUCCCACCAGGUCGCCAUCCCCAUGCGGCGAACUCCUCUCCAUGGGCCUUCGCAUGACUGUUGCCGCCCUGUCGCACCCAGAGUAUCCCGCACGUAGCAAACAUGCCAAGACCCUUCAUCCUCUGCAACAGCCUCUAACCCUUGUCGACUACCGUGCGUGCAUUGCACACCUUGCUCCUGUCGUCUACCAGAUUUGGUUUCGGGGCGCUGCCCCAAGCCCCGCAAGGGGGCGGCUUCCGCCAACUGACCGUGUAGUUGGAUCCGUGACGAGCUCGCUCUUCUCCAAAGUAUCCUCAACGUCAACUCUUCGGUGUUCAAACGCCCAAGGUCCACUCUUAACCAUUUCAAUGAAUGUGUGCAUUGAUUUCAUCCUAUUUUUUCUCAUUUGUGUUUCCACUGCCAUCGGGUUUAGCCAUGUGAGCUCCUAACUAGUCAUGUGGGCUCGUGAUCAGCUGUGUGAGCUGUGUUUUCCUUGUUUGGAGGCCAACUAAGAUUUUGAAAUGUAGAGCUUUGAUUUAUCACGAUGAUUUGAGACGAUCCUCUAGCCUUCGACUGAGGAACAGAAUAGUCUUCUUACUAUCACGCAGCCAACUUUAAAGGUUCGAAUCUGAAUGUGUGUAAGUUUUGUGGCUUGCUAGUUAUUCAUCUAAUUUAUACCAUAUCACAUUUGUGUCAAUCAUAUUCGUCUUGCAUCAGAUAUGCAGCUAUAGGCAAUUUAACGGAGACUUUGAUGAGUUGGAGAAUACAUGCAUCAUUUACGUAUUGAAAAAGGUAGGAAAUAGAGAGAAGGAUGGAGCGAGUUAUUGAGACAGAGGAAGGGUAAAGAGGGUAGGAACAGAUAGACGAGAGAGAGAGCAAGAGCGAGAGAGAGAGAGAGAGAGAGAGAGAGAGAGGAGGGAGGGAGGAAGGANNNNNNNNNNNNNNNNNNNNNNNNNNNNNNNNNNNNNNNNNNNNNNNNNNNNNNNNNNNNNNNNNNNNNNNNNNNNNNNNNNNNNNNNNNNNNNNNNNNNNNNNNNNNNNNNNNNNNNNNNNNNNNNNNNNNNNNNNNNNNNNNNNNNNNNNNNNNNNNNNNNNNNNNNNNNNNNNNNNNNNNNNNNNNNNNNNNNNNNNNNNNNNNNNNNNNNNNNNNNNNNNNAGAGAGAGAGAGAGAGAGAGAGAGAGAGAGAGAGAGAGAGAGAGAGAGAGAGAGAGAGAGAGAGAGAGAGAGAGAGAGAGAGAGAGAGAGAGAGAGAGAGAGAGAGGGAGGGAGGGAGGAAAGAAGGGAGGUGGGAGGUAGGGAAGAAGAGUGAAACUGACAGAUAGAAACAUAGGAGACGGAGGAAAGAGAAGGUGUUACAGACAGAGAUGACUAGAGGGAAGUGCGAUAGAGGAUGGGGAAGAGAAGGAAUAAGAAAAAUGGUAGGAAGAUGACCUUGAGUAUCUUAGGGUUGAUAAGGUUGGGUCCUAGAGAUGAGAAAUAUGCUAUGAAAGGUGCCGGUUUUGAGCCCAAAGUUGUUGUUGGCAACCUGAUGUUCGCAACUAGGGACCUGCAACUGAGCAUGUCUUGUAAGGAAUAGUACAUGCAAGGAUAUGGUCCCAACCUUUGCAUAAAAGAUGACAUCUUUAUUUGUUUUAUCAUUAAUCUAAAAUAAAAGCCAAAGUAUUUAGCAUCGUUAAGAAAUUACAUAAUUGAGGGAUUUUUGACAAGAUUUAAUUGCGUGUCUUUUUACCUCACAUUCUAGAACUAAACAAUAAAUUUAAUUGAAUAAUCAUAAAAACCAUUUCAUAUUAAGAAGAGAACGAAACAAAGAGAUAUCAAAUAUAGAAAAAACUAGUCCAUCGUCACAUAGUGUUAUUACACAUUUAAAUGGUGAAAACUUAGGUUUCCCAAAAAUAUACCUAAUUCUGAGCCAAUUGAUUUAAUAAUGCCAUAAAAGCUGUUGCUUAAUUUCUAUCCAACAAGAUAGAACACUAACGCCACUCAUCCUUGACUUUAGAUACUUAAAUAUAUCUUUUUCCUUAAAUAAAUUUACAUAAACUAAUUUACAUGAGAAGUCAUGAAAUUAACUUACUUGGCGAAGUUCAUCUAAGCCGCAAGAGCGUCCCCGUCUUGAUAGGAAAGAACUAUGGCAGGGAGGGCAAAGGCCUUGGCUAUGAUGUUGUUUCCCUGAAUAGGGAUAUUCAGCAGAAGCAUGCCCACACCACUGGCUAGGAGCACCACCUGACUAUUCACUUCUCUAGUGACGUUCCCCGUAUAACAUACCACAAUCUUUCCUCUCACCUUUUGUGGAUUCAACGAUCCUAUGAAGCAGAGAGCACUGCGAUUUCCAAAUCCCUCCCCCUUAAUUAGUGACAGUCAUCAUGGUAGGAUAACACAAUUAAUGGAGGAAGCAACGUGGUGAUUCUCCUUACGCCUCGUCGAGCAUCGAAUUGAGAGCUCAAGUGUCCAAGGAGGUGAUCAAAGGGUAGAAGGUGCCCAGCAGGAGGAUGGUGUUGGAGAAGCUUUGAUCCUGCAGCAGUCAAUCAGAACUGAAGUAGAACAUCAUUACCCUUCCGACAGUCUGGUUUUAGUGACAAAAGUGACCGUCAACCUUAAGUUGCUUCCCAUCUCCGAGUACUACAUAAGCAGGAACUCUCAAUCAAUUGUGUAGGAAAAUAAAGAAAUAAACCUGCAAGAAACACACUGAUUUUGGGAGAGAAAUGGACGAGAGAGAGAGGGAGAGAAGAAACAGUUCGCGUGCUCACGAACCCUAGAAAAAGACAAAACGAUUUCAAUAUGUAAAAUAAGGAGAGAGAGAGCAUUUAUACUAAUAUUUAAUGGACUGACCAUUAUGGCCCACUAAAGACAUGACUACUAUGACCCACUAAAUAACAAAAACAAAGAGCCUAAUAAAGACAAAAUAAGACUCUUUUUGCAUUAAAUACUAACACCCCCUUAAUGCAAAAAUGUUUAAGACUAAGGGCUUUUCUAAAUUUCACAAACUUAGAAUGUCCCAACACCUUUGUAAAGCCAUCUACCACUUGAUCCAAUGUUGAACAAAAUUUUAUUUCUAUAAAAUCUUUAACAACUAAAUCUCGAAUAAAACAGUGCCUUAUCUCAAUAUGCUUCGUUCUUCCAUGAAAUAUUGGAUUCUUUGUUGCAGAAAUAGUUGACACAUUGUCACAAUAGAUCACUAUAGGUAUUGAUUGUGGAAUAUUGAUAUCUUGUAGAAUCCUUCUCAUCUAUAUUAUUUGUUGUGUAGUUAAUGAUACAGCAAUAUAUUCGGCUUCAGAAGAUGAUAGUGUUGUAAAUUCUUACUUCUUAGAAAUCCAUGAAAUUACACCUAAACCAAAGUUGAAAACAAAACCAUUUGUACUUUUUUUGUCAUCAAUAGAAUUUGCCCAAUCACUAUUUGAAUAACCAAUAAAGUUAAAUUCAACAAUAUGUUGAUAUAGAAUUCCAUAAUUAAUAGUGCCACGCACAUAUCGAAAUAUUCUUUUUGUUGCUCCAAGAUGAUGAAUAGAUGGUGAGUGCAUAAACUUUAAAAUCAUACUAACUAAGAAUAAUAUAUCCAGUCGAGUAUGAGUCAAAUACAUCAAACCACCAACAAUACUUCUAUAAAAAUGUUCAUUUGUUUUUGCAGUUCUAUCAUCAAGACAUAAUUUGUCAUUUAUAUUCAUAGGAGUUGAGCACGUCUUACAAUGAAACAUAUUAAACUUUUUCAGCAAAUUACAUGUAUAUUUCUCUUGUGAAAUAAAUAUAGUAUGAUCAUUUUGAAUAAUUUGAAGUCCAAGAAAAUAUGAAUCACUCCUAAAUCUAUCAUAUCAAAUUCAGCCAUCAUACCAUUCUUGAAAUCUAAAAUUAGUGACAAAGAAGAUCCAAUAUAUAUAAUAUCAUUAACAUAAACACAUACUAUUAAAAUAUCGUCAUCUUGGGUCUUGAUAUAAUGUGUUGGCUCAUUUUCACUUCUAUGAAAAUGAUACUUGUGAGAAUAUGAAUCAAGUCUACUAUACCAUGCUCUUGGUGCUUGUUUAAGGCCAUAAAGUGUCUUCUUCAAUUUAUACACUUUGUUAUCUCUUCCUUCAAGAAUAAAACCUAGUGGUUGGUCAACAUAUACAUCUUCAUUCAAAUAACCAUUCAAAAAUGCUGAUUUAACAUCAAAUUGAAAAACUUUCCAUUUCAUUUGAGUUGUCAUGGCUAAAACAAUAUGGAUUGUUUCAAAUCUUGCAACUAGAGAAAAUAUUUCAAAAUAAUCAAUACCUUAUUAUUGUGCAUAUCCCUUCACUACUAACUUUGCCUUGAAUUUUUGAACAUUGUCAUCCAAUUUGUACCUCACUCUGUAAACCCACUUGACUCCAAUUGCUUUUGUCUUUUGUAGUAAAUCUACCAACUCUCAUGUGUCAUUCUUCUCAAUUGCUAUAAUUUCUUCUUCCAUUGUCUUCUCUUAUUCAUCUUUGCCUUGUGCCUUCUCAUAACUUGCUGGUUCUACAAUCAUAAAAGUAAAAACACAUAAUUCAUAAAUAUCACAUAAAGACUUCAUCUUUCUUGGAGGGCUUGAUAAUUCUAGACUUGAAUCAUUUUGAUCAUUAACACUAAUUGCAUUUCUUAGAUAAUAUCUUGAAGGUGUGACACAUGAAGUAGAAGCUUCACCUAUUAAAUCUUUAUCAUUUUGCAUAAUUUCCUACCCAUUUUCACCAAAAGAAUUUUGACAAAUUGAGUCUAUAUUCUAAUUCCAGCAAACAUAUUCAUCAAAUAUAAUAUCAUGAUGAAUCACUGUAUCUAAGAAAAAUAUAUUUUUCACUCUUUUUGUCCAUCUUACCACCAUCAUAAACAUCAAUUAAAGCAAAACAUAUACAACCAAAUACUUUUAAAUGAGUAACAUUAGGCUUUCAAUGAUACCAAGCUUCAUAAGGAGUCAUAUUCAUCACUACUUUUGUAGGAGAAAUAUUCAAAAGAUAAAUAAAAGUUGUAAUGGCUUCAACUCAAAAAUCAUUAGGAAAAUGCUUCUCACUAAGCAUACUUCUAUCCAUUUCCACAAUAGUUCUAUUCUUUAUUUCAGUAAUACCAUUUUGCUCUAGAGUCUUUCUAAUAGUGAGCUGUCUUUUAGUUUCAUACUUCUUACAAAAUAACUCAAACUCAUGAGAAAUAAAUUCUCCCCCUUGAUCUAUUUGAAGAGUUUUAAUAACAUGUCCACUUGAUUUUUCAGCAAAAACUUUUAAAUAAAUAAACUUCUCAAAUGCUUUAAAUUUAUGAGAAAUAAAAUAAAUCCAACUCAUACGUGUGAAGUCAUCAAUAAUCAAUAAAAAAUAUUGACUACCAUUUAAGGAUAAUGUCCUCAUUGAACCACAAAAAUCAGCAUAUAAUAAUUUAAGAGGAAACCUUGCUCUCCAUAAUUUGUCAAUAAGAAAUGAUAAUCGAUGUUGUUUGCCAUAAACACAUCCUUCACAUACUUUGUCAUUUGCUAAAAUAGAAGGUAAACUAGCAACCAUAUACUUGUAAUGUAAUCAUUUCAAUGAAUUAAAGUUUAAAUGACCAUAAUGCAUAUGCCAAAGUAGAGAUAAAUUAUUUUCUUCUAUAAUCAUACCAAAGUCAAUAAGCCUUUAAAUAUCUAAAGGAAACAUCCUCUUUCCAACCUUGGGAAUCACCAUUGGAGUCAUACCACUCUUCUUAUGCUUGAUAACACAUUUAUCAUCUUCAAAAUAAACAACAGAGCCACAUUCCAAUAAUUGACUCACACUAAGUAAGUUAUGUGUCAAUUUUGGAACAAAAUAAACAUCAUGAAUUAAUGUAUUUGCUCUUGAUUUAGUGUGAAUAGUAAUAGUACUAAUGCCUUCAAUUUUCACAUUAUUUCCAUCACCAAUAGUAGCAUCACAAAUCAUAGAUGUGUCUAUAUUCUGAAAUAAAUCUUUUUCCCCUAUCAUAUGAUUGCUGCAACCACUAUUAAUAAACCAUAUAUUUGAUAUACUUGAACUUGAAGAAACAUUAGUGAUAAAUAACUUAUUUUCUUCAACAAUAUUUACUUGCUCCUUUUUCUUGUCCCAACAAUUUGCUUCAAUAUGAAUAUACUUCUUACAAAAAUUACACAUUGGUUUAGAAUUUCAUUCUCUCAUAUUUUCUUGUUAUUUUACCUUUUCAUAACAAUAUGCUUCAAUGUGACCAUAUUUCUUGCAAAAAUGACAUUGCAUAACUUUGUAAUUUGGUUUCUGAUUUUGCUGAUUUCUUCUAUCAUUUCUUUGCUACCCAUGAUAUGAUAUAUCAUAUCCUCUUCCACGGCCUUUGUUUUGAUAAUGUCUUCUACCACGUUCUCAUUAUGUAGAUGUACCUUCACUAUUUUUCUCAUUCUUUAAAAUUUCAACCUUUGCUUGGAAUGCUUACUCAAUAGAUUUUUCCUUUUGUCUACUAAUUUGUUCUUCAUGUGUUAACAAUGAUUCCUCCAACUCAUUUUGGAUAUAAAUAAAUAAAUCCUUAGAUUGUUCAAUGGCAACAAUAAUAUGAUCAUAUUUAGAAGGCAAACUUCUUAAAAUUUUUUCAACAAUCCUUUUCACUAAAAUAUCUUCACCAAAUGUUCUCAUUUGAUUUAUAAUAAUAGCAACUCUAAAAAUGAAAUCAUGCACUAAUUCAUUUGAUUUUAUAAAAAUAUUUUAAAAUUCUCGAUGAAGAGUUUGAAGCUUCACAUUUAUAAUAAUACUUUCACCAUGAAAUUCAUCUUUCAAAAUUUUCCAUCCUUCAAAUGAACUUGAUGCAUUAGUAAUUUGUGAAAAAAUAGCUUCUGAAAUUGAUUGUUGUAGAACUAAUAAUACCUUAGUAUCCUUUUUUCGAAAUUCCUUAUUUUUUUGUCUUGAAAUCUCUCCUUUCUUAUUUCCACUCUCAACUAAUUCCUAUAAGUCUUGAAAAACAAAAAAUGUCUUCAUUUUGAUACUCCAAAAAUCUUAUUUUUCUCCAUUAAAAAAUGGAACAAAAGGCUGUGACAAGUUUAGAGGAUUAUCAUUCAUCAUUUUACUGUUAUAACAAUUCCUCUCCACAUAAAUGAUGAUUCUGAUAUUCAAAAUAUUUGUUACGGCAAGAAAUCUUCAAAAACCCCAAAUAUUUUUCACAAACCUCGGAUUUAUCCUCUUCUAUUGUUGCUGAUCUCUCCACAGAAAAAAACAAUGCCCAAUAUACGAACUUGGCAUUCUGAUACGACUUGUAGGAAAAUAAAGAAAUAAACCUGCAAAAGACACUGAUUUUGAGAGAGAAAUGGACAUGAGACAGUGGGAGAGAAUAAAUUAUUCACACACUCACGAACCUUAGAAAAGGACGAAAUGAUUUCAAUAUAUAAAAUAAGGAGAGAGAGAGUAUUUAUACUAAUAUUUAAUGGACCGACCAUUAUGGCCCACUAAAUACACAACCACUAUGACCCACUAAACAACAAAAACAAAGAGCCUAAUAAAGACAAAAUAAGACUCUUUUGCAUUAAAUACAAACAAAUUGUACUGGCGGCCACAUUCCCUCUAGAACAUACCACGAGGAUCCCAUUCUUUACAGCGUGAAACGAUCCGAUGGCUAUCCCGUCUGUAAAGUAGUCCCAAGGAGGCCCGCCGACGGACACAAACAGCACGUCCACACCGUCAUAGAUGGCUGCGUCGAAGGCAGCGAUGAUGUCGGAGUCGAAGCACAGGGUCCCGUUCUCCGUCGGCCAGCAAACCUUAUACGCCGCCAAGCGGGCAUGGGGAGACCCGCCCUUGGCAGUGCCGUUUCCAAAGUCGAAGAGGCUGGCUCGAGGCGCGAAUGUGCCGCCGGCUGUGGAGAGGGUGUGAGCGCCGUGUCCGUCGACAUCCCGAGUCGUCUUGAAGCUGGCGUUCCUGGAGCCUACGGCGGCCACGUAGCCCUUGUUAAAAGAUCUGGCCCCUAUUAAUUUCCUGCAUCAACGGGGUUCCACCAUUCAUCCAUGCCGAAGGUGCCGGCCGCCAAAGAAAGCCUCACGAUUAUUUGGGCAAAUAUUCCUUCCUUAAAUUCUAUAAGAAUUCAUCCGGCAUUUUUAUAAUGGAUAAUUGAAUAUUCCACAUGGUAGCCAAUAACUACUUGAUCCAUUGAUGAGAGAGGAUAGAAGAACAUGAGGAAGGGAAGUACGCGGAACUACGACCAACCGACUGACAGCUUAACUAUGUUAGUGCGCAUAAGGAUGAUAACUAUAGAUGGUGGCUCAAGGAUAUUAACUAUGUUGAUCAUUGCAGCGUUUUCAAGUCGAAUUGGAAAGCUGGGUUCUGGCAUCGUACCUGUUGCACCGAAAAGGAUCGUUGGGGCCGUUCUCGCAGAUUCCCUUCCAUCUCGACGGGAGGGGGCCCAAGUUGUUGUCGUUGAAGCUUGCGGAUUCAGGCCACACCCCUUUGUUGAAGUCGAUUAUGGAAAAUAUCCAAAGGAUGAAUGGUUGGCAUUUAUCAAAAGAGUGGCUUGUUUCCUCUAAACUAAUGAAUAGAAGAGAGAAAAAAGAACCAAGAAAGAAGCGGAUGGGGGCAGCGAUACCAGUGUCAAGAUUCCCGAUGAUGGUGUCCUCCCCGAACCUCGCCUUCGUCCAAAUGGAGUCCGCCGGCACUGUGCCUUCGACCUCCAGUCCUAUGAAUUCCCAUGAACGCGUCGUGUGUAGUUCCCGUCCCUCGUUAGGAAACACCGUCACGACCCCCGGUGAGUCUACAUUUAUAUGUCGUCAAAGAAUGCAAAACAGGAGGUAACUCAGAAAUAAAGAUUAGGAGGGAAGAUAGAAGAUGGAGUCGUGGGAAUGGGUGAGAGAACGGCACCGUACUUGAUAUCUCCGUCGCCUCCUCCUCCUCCAGGAUUGCUGCGAACCCAUUGAUGUACCUCGCGUAGGAGUAGAAGGUGGCCUCUUGUGCCUUCUCCUUGCGGCAACAUAAUUCAUACAAGGGGACUGCUUAAGAUCUUCCCGAGAGAACCAGUAAAGCGGAGAUCAGAUAUCCAUGGUUUUGGAACUAGACUUUAAUCACCUGCCCAGGAAGGAUCCGAGAAACUCGUGAUGGGAGGCUGUGACCUCAUCCGUCUGGACCGAGAAACCUUCUCCUCGAGUUCGAGGAUGACUACCCAUGUACACAACAUACGACUGGAUCAUAGAAAUAGGAAUAUACUGUGCGAUGAGGAAAGAAGACGGCUGACUCGCACCCGAAGGAUGACAAGAAAAAUACUAGACAGAUGAUGCCUGCCUUUCUGACAGCGGAUGCAGGCGCCGGCCACUGGGAACAUAGGAAAAACCACAGAAGUGAGAAAUAAACAAGGCGAGAAGAACGCAUUUCCGGAGAUCCUGUUCCCUGACGCUUCCCUAGCUCUGUUCAGCCCCUCGAUAGGAGGAAGCAUGGUGCUCCUCUCUAAUGUAGACGAAAGCCUAAUUGAAUUUUUCGAAGUGCACAUCAAUUGACAGGUACUAUGAGAAGAAUGGACCCUGCUGCUUAAUUCUAAGAGAUAAUGAAUUAUAUGGGCUAAACGCCUUGGUCGUCACUGCAAUUUUGAUAUCUCUACUUGAAAUCCUUAGACAGCGACGCAACAUUUGAGAAGAGACUUCUUAUGAGUUGUUAGCCAACCAAUGGCGUUCCCUUCUCUUAUUUUACAGUUUACUAUAGAGAAACUUAAAUUGUAUUACAUCACGUCGUAAUCGAUACAAAACGGCAUGAACGAAGUCCACGGAUAAGCGCGUUGACGCAGCUGAGACAGCUGAUCUGAUGCGACCUCUUUUGGGCAACUACCAUUUCCUUAAGGAACCAAAUCGCAGAUCACAUUACCCGAACCCGAGGUAAUAUUCAGGAGAGGGCAUGAUCAUCACGGGCUGCAGAAGAAGAAUGAUGCAGUCACAUAUUCCUCGCUAUAAAUGCUUUGAUCACCAUAGGCAGACGCUACUACGGCAACCGUAGGAUGGAAACAAUACGCGGGAAUCUUCGAACGUAAGCAUAAUUUCGAUGUUUCUGUCUCAAAUUAGGAACACUAUGCACUCGGAGAUAGAAUUUUUCUAAAAAAUUCAUUGUCAUUUACUUUCGAGUUUCCCCAGAAAUCAGGUAUUCUAGAAGUCCGAAAAGAAGAAUUGAAUGUUCAGAAUCAGGAAGCAUAUUUCACGGGAAUUAUUAUGCAUUUCGAGGUAAAUUAUCCUUUACCUUAGUAUCCAAAAUUGCAUAACCACGGUGUGGCGUUUUCACUCCUUAAGCAUCAAAUUUUCUCAAAAAUUCGGCAUACGAUCCUUUAUGAAUAAGGAUUAAGAGUAAAUAAUGAUUAGGUAGGGGAAGAGAACGCUAGUCGUAUAUUAGGUACAAAAAUGAAGAAAUGCUAAAUUAGUAUGAUGCCGUUUCAACAAUCCUCAUGCCACAUAGAGCCUAGUGAUUCCGACACAAUUUGGCUCAAUGUUUUAACCAUUUGUUCGAACAAGUCUUGAGACAGUAAACAUUUCUCAAUACUGGGUUUAUCUCCAAUAUUUUAAUCCCUUAAGAUCUCAUGCUUGUUAAAAAACAAACUUGACAAGCUUUCCUUGGAGAUCUUUUCUUCAGAUUAGCUUUAUCUCAAAAUUCUGAAAGCUUCAUAUUUCUUGCGUCAUCUAGCUCAUGCUGUUAACUUGAAUCAAUAAAGUCAAAUAGCCAACUAUCAUCACUAUUUACUUUUUUACAAAUACAAUGCUCAAAUUUGAAACAUGACUUAGGUAACAACAAAUCACUUUCAAACCCCUAGUUGAAUUUCUGAAGAUUCUUUUUGUGUACCUUACAAUCAUAAUAUUGUAGUAUUAAUUAAAUAAUACUUUUAUGAAGAAGAAAACAUAUAAAAAAGAUAAGUAGACCAAAUUAUGUUGUUUAUUCAAUACACAUAAAUCAAGCAUUAAUAUUCUUUAAGACCAUAAUGAAAUUAAUUAAGUGCAAAUUCAAGAAGAAUUCAAAGUAAUGAUAUUCAAUGCCUAAAUGGCAACUCAAGAAAUGUAUUUGAGUUUUAUGCUUUUGAAUUAUAUAAUUUGGAUGAAUAUACUAUUAUAAAAUAUUAAUUUAUUUUCCACAGUAGAAAAUGAUAUUUAAAAAACUUACCACUAAUAUAAAGUAAGAAUCACCACAUUGGAAUUAAUGAAACUUUUUGAAAUAAAAUAUGGGUAUUAAACAUUUUCAGUAUAAUAGAUGUCCAUGAUGUUCGAUCAUGACUUCAUAUUAUUCUUGACAAUGACUCAAUCAAUUAAAUUCAAAAUAUUUUAACAGGCCCAAUAAUUUCAUGAUAAUUAUGCAUAUUAUUUUCACAAUAUUUGAAUGACGUUUCAAGGAGUAUAUUUUAGUUUCAUGCUUUUGAAUAUCAGAAUUUGGACGAAUUUACUACUCAAAAUUAUCAUUUUGUUUAUCAGCAUGAGAAAUACUAAUUUUAUGAAUUUUUCAAACUAAUGAUUAUCACAUUAGAAUUCAUGAGGAUUUUUGAAGUAAAAUAUGGGAAUGAGAGCUUAUCUAAUAUUGGAUGCUCAUGACAUAAAAUCAUUCAUUCCAAUUAUUUUUGAUGAAAAAAUAAUCGACUAAAAAAAAUAUUUGAAUGCCCAUUCAUGGUUUACAUAAUACUGAUUAAGAUUAUCUGAAAAUUUAUUUUGAUAUUCAUAAGUCAUUGAAGUAAUGAUGGUUCCUAAUGAAAUCAUAACUUAAUGUCCACCUCAUAUUCAUGAUUUAUCGAAGGCAAUUUGUAUUAAUUUUGAAUUCAAAAUAAUAGCUUUAUUUUGAGAUAUAUUCUUGAUUCUAUUUUAAUGAUAAAACUUUCUUACCAUGCUCACUUGAACUAAUAAAAUUCAAAUAUAUGUGUUAGUGAUUAAUGGGUAUGCAUAUUAUUUUUUCUAAAAUGAUAUCUGAACCUUAAAAGAUGUGCUAUAUUAGUUUUUGAUAGUUUAAAUCCCUAAUUAAUUUUAAAAUUUUAACAUUGAGAAAUGUCAGAAAAUGUGAGAGGUUUUGAAAUAAAAUUUUCUAUAAAUCCAUCAGUCUCUAAGCGCUAAUUUCUUGAUGUUCGUCAUUCCUGACCUCUCCACCAUUUGGAGAAAUUUUAUAACAUUUCUCUAGGGAAAUAUGUGAGAGUUAGAGCAUUCUUUAAAGCUUGGUCAAACACAAACAAAAUGUGUUGAGCAAAAAGAAUUGAUAAGAAAAGUAAUUGUCAACAACUAGACUAAAGUGAUAACAUUUUAAACAUUUCUAUAGCUUAUUCUGUAAAUAAGAGCAAAAACUUAAGCAUAAUUCAGCAAUGUUUUCAUUGAAUUUUCAAAUGUAUCUCAAGUCAAUGCUAGCAAUUUGAAAGAUCACAUUAUUAUAUUCAAUCUUAUUUUUUGGAAAAAAUUUAUAAUUAAAUCUUGAUUUGAUCACUCAAGAGAGUUGAUCACUAUACUCAAGAGUGGGCUUGAUCAAUUCAUAAAUCUAGAGGAAAUUUUCGUAGUAAAAUUUUAUGCGAGUUAAACCAAAUAAUCAGUAGUUAUUGUGCUAAAUAGUUAGUUUAGUAGAAUCUAAGGAUAGGGUAUUCCUAUAACAUAGAUGUAAGUAAAAUUCGAAGCCACUCUAAAAAUUAUAGUACCAAAAUGGUAUAAAUUUAGAGGAUCUACUAGGAUACAUAAUCAAAAGAAUAAGAUCAAAUAAUCAAGAGUAAUUGACAAAAAUUCAAAAUUAGAAUCUAAUCAAUCCAAUUCCUUUGUUCUUGAACUAAGUCAAAUAUAAAAUCCAACGAGUAGUACAAUUUCAUCCUUUCUAGGUAGAAAAGAAUUUCUUUAGAGAGUUUCUACUUGUUUCAAAAUUAGUUUCUACUACCCACCAUUUUAACUCUUUAGAGUUUAGGAAAACUCUUACAUCUUCCAUAGAGAUAUCAUCUCUCUUGCAUAACUAAAAUAACGAUGAAAUGCUCAUACAAAAGAGUUAAUGAAUAGAGGUGAACUAGGAUUUGAGCAUCAUCAUCUACUUUAACACCAAUAUUUUUAAGAUCUAUGAAAAAUUUAGAGAACUCAUUUAGAUAAUUAGUAAUGAGUACACCAUUCUAAUUCAAAAAGUGAAGAAUUGUUUCUUUGUGUGUAAAUGUUUUGUGAGGUACUUCUCUUCGUAAUUCUACUUAGUCGGCAAAGGCUCAUUGCCUUAAGUUGCAUUGCUCAGUCUUUGUUGGACUAAUAGUAACUACAUUUUUAGUGUUCAAAUGUUAAAAUAUUUAAUCUUUCCAUCAAACACUUCAAAUCAUUCUUCAUUGUCAAUAUUUACUUUGUUCUCGUCACCAAUGAACACAGAUCAAAUCCCAAUCGAACUCUAAAAGUAGAUUGUUAAGACAAAUAACCACCCACCCAGCAAAUUAACACCAUAUUGAUCUGCAUGACAAGAAAUAAGGAGAAGGAAUGAGGAUCAACUCACACCAAAACAUGGACUACUGUCUAUAGGCAACAACGAGGAUGGGAUCUUUACUAGACAUCAAGAAGUUUACAUGAGGCUCUCACCUCUUUCUCAAGAAAUAUAUGGCAGCUCUCCUCUAACAUAAAGGAUAUGCAGCAGCUCUUAGCUCCUCAUGUCAGCAGGAUAGGCGGCAGCAUAUUCGUCCACCAUGACAACCACCAUCACCGCCACGAUCGCUCCUUAUUCUCCUCCUUUUUCGCUCUUAGGAUUUUACAAACAACAGACGCCACUAUUUGUAGUGGUUCAAGAGGCCCUCUCGGACCGCCCAAGAUUGAGGAAAAUGUCAACGCCGAAUACGGUCAUAUGACGACUCAUUUCCGUGAGAACUGCCUUGCCGAAAUGGGCCGUUUGUCAGUCCUGCACUUCCGUCUUGCUUGUGAAGGUGAGCCACAAACAACUCCCGUAGCAGGUGGAAUAGAACCCGACGGUUAUCAGAAGGAAUGAAACGGAAAUAAAAGGUGUCUGGAUCUCUUUCUUGGACUCAGUGUUGAAUGUCCUCCUUUGCAGCUAGAGAGAGAAGACCAAAAUGGAAGAUGUAGAAACGCUACCAUCUUUCUCUCUCACCAAGUCCAGCUUCUCUACUUCAUCACCCCACCUCUCACAACUCGCCGUAGUUCCCAUGCACCUCCCUUUUAAAGAGAGGAAUAAGAGGGAAGAGAAGACAAAAGAGAGAGAUGGGUUGAGAUCACAGCGCGGCCCGGCCCGGCAUAGGCGAAGUGCCCCGAGCUUCGUAGUCAAUGGGCCACAGCAGCUGACGCACAUCCUCUAAUAUGUGAGCCCACGAUAUAUUACCGGCAUCUUGAUUUAACCCUUUUUUAUUCGGCCAUAUUUCCCUAUAAUUUGCCUUUUUAUUGAAAAUAAAUACUUGCCUCCGUUGACUUCAGAUAGGACCUUGCGGCCGUGGACCAACAGGGUACUCUAUCGGCUGACAGCCGUAAAGGAGACCAGAGUCAACGCGGCCGCCUUCCGAUUUUUCUUUUGGCAGAGAGGUAGCUCCUCCGACAGAUCAAGCUCGCUGUGCGGGUCAACAGGCGGCCCCUGACCUGGUAGCGCCUCCGCCGAGCUUCUCACUUUCUGCGGCGGCGGGAAGAACCCAUGUCGUCGCAGACACGCCGUCACCCCCCGAGGACCAUGCGAGAGAUGUAAGAUCGCCUUCACCACGUCGUCAAGGGAGGGGCCCGGUAGGCUCUAUCCAUGAGAAUUACCGCAGAGCUCUAUCCCCCCGUCGUCUUCUCGGAGAUGAAAUAAUUCAUGGGCAAUAAAUAAUCAGAGGAUGCGAAGUAGCUGCAGAUCCCUGGAUCAUUCAGACCCAGGACCAGGAACAGCCACAAGGACAGGAGCAUCCCUUUCUUUGUUUAGUGAUGUGGGAUCAACUGUAGUUGGAGGACCACUCCUGUUUCCUUUUCUAGAGAGAGAGAGAGAGAGAGAGAGAGAGAGAGAGAGAGGAGGAGGAGGGAGGAGGNNNNNNNNNNNNNNNNNNNNNNNNNNNNNNNNNNNNNNNNNNNNNNNNNNNNNNNNNNNNNNNNNNNNNNNNNNNNNNNNNNNNNNNNNNNNNNNNNNNNNNNNNNNNNNNNNNNNNNNNNNNNNNNNNNNNNNNNNNNNNNNNNNNNNNNNNNNNNNNNNNNNNNNNNNNNNNNNNNNNNNNNNNNNNNNNNNNNNNNNNNNNNNNNNNNNNNNNNNNNNNNNNNNNNNNNNNNNNNNNNNNNNNNNNNNNNNNNNNNNNNNNNNNNNNNNNNNNNNNNNNNNNNNNNNNNNNNNNNNNNNNNNNNNNNNNNNNNNNNNNNNNNNNNNNNNNNNNNNNNNNNNNNNNNNNNNNNNNNNNNNNNNNNNNNNNNNNNNNNNNNNNNNNNNNNNNNNNNNNNNNNNNNNNNNNNNNNNNNNNNNNNNNNNNNNNNNNNNNNNNNNNNNNNNNNNNNNNNNNNNNNNNNNNNNNNNNNNNNNNNNNNNNNNNNNNNNNNNNNNNNNNNNNNNNNNNNNNNNNNNNNNNNNNNNNNNNNNNNNNNNNNNNNNNNNNNNNNNNNNNNNNNNNNNNNNNNNNNNNNNNNNNNNNNNNNNNNNNNNNNNNNNNNNNNNNNNNNNNNNNNNNNNNNNNNNNNNNNNNNNNNNNNNNNNNNNNNNNNNNNNNNNNNNNNNNNNNNNNNNNNNNNNNNNNNNNNNNNNNNNNNNNNNNNNNNNNNNNNNNNNNNNNNNNNNNNNNNNNNNNNNNNNNNNNNNNNNNNNNNNNNNNNNNNNNNNNNNNNNNNNNNNNNNNNNNNNNNNNNNNNNNNNNNNNNNNNNNNNNNNNNNNNNNNNNNNNNNNNNNNNNNNNNNNNNNNNNNNNNNNNNNNNNNNNNNNNNNNNNNNNNNNNNNNNNNNNNNNNNNNNNNNNNNNNNNNNNNNNNNNNNNNNNNNNNNNNNNNNNNNNNNNNNNNNNNNNNNNNNNNNNNNNNNNNNNNNNNNNNNNNNNNNNNNNNNNNNNNNNNNNNNNNNNNNNNNNNNNNNNNNNNNNNNNNNNNNNNNNNNNNNNNNNNNNNNNNNNNNNNNNNNNNNNNNNNNNNNNNNNNNNNNNNNNNNNNNNNNNNNNNNNNNNNNNNNNNNNNNNNNNNNNNNNNNNNNNNNNNNNNNNNNNNNNNNNNNNNNNNNNNNNNNNNNNNNNNNNNNNNNNNNNNNNNNNNNNNNNNNNNNNNNNNNNNNNNNNNNNNNNNNNNNNNNNNNNNNNNNNNNNNNNNNNNNNNNNNNNNNNNNNNNNNNNNNNNNNNNNNNNNNNNNNNNNNNNNNNNNNNNNNNNNNNNNNNNNNNNNNNNNNNNNNNNNNNNNNNNNNNNNNNNNNNNNNNNNNNNNNNNNNNNNNNNNNNNNNNNNNNNNNNNNNNNNNNNNNNNNNNNNNNNNNNNNNNNNNNNNNNNNNNNNNNNNNNNNNNNNNNNNNNNNNNNNNNNNNNNNNNNNNNNNNNNNNNNNNNNNNNNNNNNNNNNNNNNNNNNNNNNNNNNNNNNNNNNNNNNNNNNNNNNNNNNNNNNNNNNNNNNNNNNNNNNNNNNNNNNNNNNNNNNNNNNNNNNNNNNNNNNNNNNNNNNNNNNNNNNNNNNNNNNNNNNNNNNNNNNNNNNNNNNNNNNNNNNNNNNNNNNNNNNNNNNNNNNNNNNNNNNNNNNNNNNNNNNNNNNNNNNNNNNNNNNNNNNNNNNNNNNNNNNNNNNNNNNCAGGGGAUGCGCUUGUCCUCGUCAAAGGAGGAAAGGGUUCUCCCGACGAUGGAUAUCGCCUGCUCAUACGGGUUUGGGGAAUGGUUCAGGUCGUGCAGGCAGCGGCGACCAAAGGAAAAUUUGCCUGCAGAUUGCCAGAAACAUGCCGCAAUUAGUAAAUAAGCGAUCCCCAGAGCCAUCAAAGGAGGAGUAGCAACUUCUCAAGUGAAGGGACUAAGCAGUCGAGCACUCUGCGCUCAGCAAUUUAAACUAGAAAGCGAGAGGUUUGGCACCAAAUCUUGGAUGCCACUCCCCACCAUUAGCUCCUCAUAUCUGUGAGGUAUCAAGAUUCUAAAGGAGGGAUUUUUAUGAUGAUAAUGUGGGCUGGCUGAGUUACCCAAAUUGGCAACCAAACAGCCAUCCAAGCACAAAUUCGUCCUAUCAGCAUGUGAAGCAGUCCAAGAGAGAGAGAGAGAGAGAGAGUUUCCAGGAGAACCUGUCCACUCAUUGCUCUUAGUGAAGUCAACUCCCAGAAUCAUGUUUGAAGAUUCAAGCCCGGCCUGUGCGAGAGCGUCGCUCACCUGGGAUACAGAGGAUCGGAUAGCAACUCAGCCGCAGUAUUGAAUUCCUCCAAAAUCACAAGGAAAAAAUCUUGAUAACCCAGUUGGUAUUCUCUAGCCAAUAAGGAGGUAGGAGAUGGCGGGCCCCCUGGUUCAGCGAGCUAGCUGCACAGGGGGAGAGAUUACAGGGGCAACAGGGUGGGUACCUGAUCAGGUGACUGGAACCGCUGAGAGAUCCUCAGGUAAUCUAUGGGAUAUUCCCCUCCAUGAGCAGCAUCGACGCUCCUGCCAGACGAUGAGGCGAGGGAAUGCCUCCUGCUGUGCGCAGAAUAAUGGUGGCGGCGCGAUGCUCCCUUGGAGAACUUGAAACCCAUCAGCUCUCCCCAGAUUUAUGGCCAAGAUCCCUGCCAGAAGCAGCACAGACACAGCACCCAUCAGCGGAUCACGUAAACCAGCGGCAUGAAGCGGCUCUUUGCUCCUCUUUAGGAGGGAUCGCUCCUCCAUGAAUGCUCUCGUUUCCUCCUCCGGAGCAGCUGCUGGCGAGAAGCCCAGCUUCUCCUUUCUCCCCGCCUCCGAGGAAAUGGAUGAAGAACCCAUCACAUUAUAAUAGUAGGAGCCCUUGUCGGCUCGCGGGAGCCGGCUCCCACGCUCACCUGAGGAUGGCUGACGCUGCAGAGCGAGUUCAUCCAAGGCGGAGCUUUCCCCGUUCUUCGUCAACCCCAGAGAGAGAGAGAACAAGUCGGCCCUCCUCCUGCCUCCCUUCCCCCGCCACAACCUCCAGAGGUCCACAGCUGGAUCUUAUAUGAAGAAGAAGCAUGGACUCGGCAAGCUCUCCGAGCCAAGGGGCCGAAGAAGGCGCCGGGAAAUGAACGGGCUAGAGAGACGGUGACGAAGGCUGCUGGAAGCUAUGAGAACUGACGGAGAAGACUUAAUGGCGGCCAGUAUUAUAAUCACGCAGCAAAAGUAAACGAGAGGUGGAGUGACGAAGAGACUAACACAUGUCAACGCCGGAGGAGCAAGCGGUGGGGGUAAGUAGCAGAACCCAGAAGCUGCCUCGCGCCGCCAGCCGGCUAAUCUGCCGUGUUCUGACCAGCCGAUUCAAUGGUCGAGGAGCGCUCGCCCCUUUCACCGACGGCGGCACAGGGGAAAAGAGGAGAGCGGCGACGCGGUCGCCGUGGGAAGAUGAAGAUCGGCUCCGGCAGAAGGCGGAGGACGGUGACAGUGGCCGCCGAUCGUACGUCAGAACGCCCAGUCUCCAUAAGCACCACCUGCUCGUACUCGUAUUCAUGGACCAGUCGUCGCGAAGGGAGACUUUCUGGCCGGAGGGGAAGUCCGUCGCCGGUCGCUUUCCCCUCCUCCGGCGACCCGGCUUCCGAUCCCGUUCGCGUGGACGGCUCGACGUGAAUAAGGAUUUCUUCUUGCCGGAGAGGGGGGGCCCCGCCGCCGCCGACAACGGGCCCUUGCUUCACGCGCUCGACAAGCCGACGUCAGGGGGCCCCCGUCAAGGUGACGACGGCGAACUGUUCGCUGAAAUGUCCACGCGAUAAACCAUCGCAUAUCCCAUUCCCCCAGAGUCAACGACCGCGUUGCCCUCGAGAGCGGGAAGCUCCCCCCAGAUUAAGAUAAGUUUGACCUUUACCCCGGACAACUAUUAGUCACGCCGCUUUAUUUGUCAACUCCGUGUCUUCAAUUUAAUGAAAAUUAGGACAAAAUCAAUAUCCCCAGAUGAAAUUAGAGGAGGCCCACCGCCACAAGAGUCAUCAUAAUCUAUGAUUUCACCGUGGGUCCAAGCUCUUAAUUAAAAUAUUACCAAGUAAAUAGAAAUCGAAUAUUUAGGGUAUGAGAGUAAUUCCAAUGACGCCAUGCAAUCGACCAGCCACCGAAUAAGUUAUUAUAACGUUUUUAUGUCUUAAAAAUUUUGACUGACGAUUGCAGAGUCUUAAGAGCAUUAGUUUAUUCCUCAACUCUACGUCUUCAAUUUAAUGAAAAUAAGGAUGUAACUAAUAUUUUUAAUAUAUUGUUGACCAAUUCAUUUCCUCUCAAAAAUAUCAAGUGGUGAAUAAGAGAGUAUUAUUGCCAUAAUAUCCCUAGAUGAAAUUGGAGAAGGCCAACUGUAACAAGAACCGUCAUACUUUGUGGUUUCACCAAGGGCCCAAUUCUCACUUUAAAUACUAUCUAGUUGAUAGGAAUCAAAUAAUUAGAGUGUGAAGGUAAUUCUAAUGGCAUCAUGCAAUCGGCUAACACCUGAAUAAGUUAUUCUAAAAUUUUAUCUCUAAAUAUAUUGAUUGACAAUCACAAUGUCUUUUAAGCACAUUAAUUAGUUUAUUCCUCAACUGUGUCUAAAAUUUAAUCAAAAUUAGGUAAAAUUGAUAUUUUCUGUAUAUUAUUUACCGAUUCCCUUCCUCACAAAAUAUCAAAUAAGUGGUGAAUAAGAGAGUUCUGCUACUGUAAUAUCCCCAGAUGAAAUUGGAGAAGGCCUACUGCCCCAAGAACCAUCAUAAUCUAUGAUUUCACUGAAGGGACAACUUCCUGAUUUUAAAUAUUAUCUAAUGGAUACGAUUCAAAUAAUUAGGAUAUGAAAGUAAUUCUAAUGGCAUCAUGCAGUGGACUAACAACUGAAUAAGUUAUCCUAAAAAUUUUUAUCUCUAAAAAUGUUGAUUGACAAUCACAAUGUGUUUUAAGCACAUUAGUUUAUUCCACAACUAUGUGUCAACAAAUGAGUGAAAAUUAUUAUUGACCGAUUCCUUUCCUCAUAAAAUAUCAAAUAAGUGGUGAAUAAGAGAGUUUUACUUACAAAAGCCAUAAUAUCCCUAUAUGGAAUCAUCAAAAUCUAUGAUUUCACCAUCGGCCCCACUUUGCAGUUAUCAAUUCUAUUUAGGGGAUAUGGAUGAAAUAAUAAGGGUACCAAAAGUCAUUCUAAUGGCGUCAUGCAAUGGACUAAAUGUUGGACAUAUUAUUUUAAUUGUUUUAUCACUUGAACAAUAAUUGCACUGUGUCUCAGGCACAUUAUUCUAACAAGGUAUCUUAACUCUUAACUUGGCCCAGCUAUAAGUCUCAAGGGUCAUUGGAAUCACUUGUUAUGGGUUUAUUCAUUUGACUUCGCAUCUUCCAUGAUUGAAAAUUAGGACGUCAUUACUAUUUUUGUUUUAUAUAUUAUUGACUUAUUCAUUUCCUUUAAAAAUUAAAAUCAGUUCGCAAUAAAAGAGUUUUACUUCCAUAAUAACCUCAGAUGGAAUUGGAGAAGGCCACCACCACCGCCACACAAUCGGUCAUAAUUUAUGAUUUCAACAUCGGCCCAAGUUAGAAGGAAUAAUUAGGGUAUUGAAGAAUUCUAAUGACAUCAUGCAAUGGAGAACCAUUGAGGAUGUUAGAUAAAUAUUUUUAUACCUAAAAAUGUUAAUUCCCAAAGUAUUUUUAAGGGACACUAUUCUGAGACGUUUUCUUGUUCUAUUUUUCAAUAUUUAUGGAGAGUAAAAUGCAAAAUAUAAUUUAGAUUUUCUCCCUUUUUGUUGGGAAUGAAAUUUCAAUUAAGAAAAUAAGGUGACAACAAGAUUUGCUAUAAUAUCCAAAUCAGCGUCAAUAGAUUCCAUUUUUUAUGAAUUGUAUUUCCAAAGGCCGAAGUAAACAAUUAUAUUAACUAAUUUAUUGUCAUAAAAAGCACAAUCAAUUGGUAAAAACCAAUCGAGAGGAAAUUUAAAAAAUUAUCUUCACCCGUUUUUGUUAGAUUUAAGGAAUUAUACUCAGAACCAAAAGAUUCUCAUUUUUUUUGAAAAUUUGAAAAACGAUAUUAAUGUAGGGAGUUAUGCCAUAUUAGACUAAGAACGUCAACCAUGUGACCGAAACCCUAGCUUGACCCUUGAGAGCAGUCCAGAAAACAAACUUUGGUAGACUCACUACCAAGCCUGCAAAAAGAGGGCUCUAAACAGAGCGAACUGAGAGGUUUAGAGAGAGCAGCGUGUAAAGAGACAAGAAAAAGCUGGUCUGUCGCCACGAAAUUGAAGAGAACUCAUGACAGAGUGGAAAAUUAUCCACAACUCUCCCUAUUGAUCAGAGAGAGAGAGCGAGAGCGAGAGAGAGAGAGAGAGAGAGAGAGAGAGAGAGAGAGAGAGAGAGAGAGAGAGAGAGAGAGAGAGAGAGAGAGAGAGAGAGAGAGAGAGAGAGAGAGAGAGAGAGAGAGAGAGAGAGAGCGAGAGAGAGAGCGAGAGAGAGAGCGAGAGAGAGAGAGAGAGAGCGAGAGAGA
This 64293-nucleotide long non-coding RNA is filed under the name Spirodela polyrhiza (greater duckweed). RNAcentral describes it as "long non-coding RNA (SPOL_LNC000464)". Lineage: Eukaryota; Viridiplantae; Streptophyta; Magnoliopsida; Alismatales; Araceae. The record is from RNAcentral.